RNAcentral lists this long non-coding RNA (79564 nucleotides) under Nicotiana tabacum (common tobacco). Its description in RNAcentral is "long non-coding RNA (NTAB_LNC006390)". The record is from RNAcentral. Lineage: Eukaryota; Viridiplantae; Streptophyta; Magnoliopsida; Solanales; Solanaceae.
UCAUAUGAAGGAAAAUUCAUAUUACAGUUAAGUAGUAAAGGAAAUAGUGUUUUAAUGGUUGAGUGUAACAACACAAAUCAUGCUUGCAAAGAAUUACUACUCCCUAAACUUUACGUUUGAAACUGAGAGAAUCAAAUGAUCAAAAUCACAAUUACUUUUAUGCAACCCGGUUUGAAAUGAAUUACAUAUACCUACAGCUAUUAUUUCAGAGUUAAUACAAAAUUCUAGUUUUCGGAGACAUUGAGAAUCCUUCAACAUUCGCGACUCCUCAGGCUAGUUUUUAGCUCACAAUCAAAGCACACAUUGUUAUCAAUUCAAUCAAUACUUCAAAUUAAUUCUAGAAGCUCAUAAACUCCAUUGAUUUCCAAUGGUCAUGCUACAAUCUUGAUUAUCCCUCAACAUCAAAAAGGUCAUAUGAACAAACUGAAAAACUCAAAUUCAUUACAAAUUGGAACCGGUACAAGGGUAGUGGUAAUUGGUGAAUAAACUCAACUCAGAAUUUUAGCUUCUUAACGCAGAUACAAACACAUCACAGCUGAACAAUCAGUAUAAAUAAACCUUAUAUCAAUUAACAUGGAUACAUGAAAUUAAACAUGGACACAACAUGCAAUUCAGAUCUUCAAGUAAACAUCCUAUCAGAGAAAUACAGAGGUACAAUCACAUACCUAGAAGCAAAAUCAAUAGAUGAACUUGACAGAAAUAAAGGUUGGAGAUGAAAGGUGAAAUCUAGCAAGCAAGAAACAGCAACAAACUCAACAAUUAAGUCAAAAGUUCCACAGUUUAAAUGCCACUCGAAAUCCAAGAAAAAGUGAAGCAAAACCAGUAGAAAUUGGAAGGAGAACCAACUUUGAAUUUUUUUUUUGUUUUAUGUAUCUAAUUUGAACUUCGGGUUUGUUUUUCUAUCAAGAGAAGUCCGUGAGGAUAAAGGAAUAUGUGUGAGAUUUCUGCUGUGUUUUUCUGAAGAAUGCAUAAAUAAAAGAUGCCUAAACUAUGUGUGUGAGUGAGUCUUUUAUGCAGAAAAAUGAGAGAAUGUGUGAGAGAAUCUGUCAGCUGAAAAAUAGGAAAGAAGCAUAUGUUUUUAACAUAUUUUUGGACAGUUGUCCAUUCAGAUUAUUCCUUCCUUUUUUAAUUGCCCCUUUAAUUUCUGAAUUUACCCCUUUUUACCCUAAAUUUGACAUAAUUUCCCUUGUCUUAUUGUAUUUUAUUCCCUUUCUAGAAGCUUCCUACAUAGCUACCUAAAAUUUCCUAUUUUGCUUUCCCAAUUACCCCCUUAAAUUUAUGAUAUUUAUAAAUUAACUCUAACAAGAAAAUCAAACUGAUCCAGAGAUAAAGCAGAACUGACAAUUAUGCAAAUUAACUGAAUAAUCUGGUUCAACAUCUAAUUAAUUCAAAAUCAAUUAUCAUAACAACUCAUGCAAUUAACUAACUAACAUGUAAUUAAAUAUUAACCAAUUCAUGCAAAAGAUGAGACUAUCUAAUCUUAAAUCCUAUUUGGUACGAAUCAUGUUUAAAAUUUGAGAAGAGUAGCAUACUUUGAGAAAACUUGAAGAAAAGAGAACUAAUUAAUCGAAGAGGAAAGAAAAGAAAGAAAUUACCUAUUAAUCUUUAAACAAAAUAGCAUAGAGCUCCGACGGAAUCUGGACGGUCAAACAAUGGCAUUGAUCAAAAUAUGACCUCCAAGAUACGGCAUGAAACUUACAUCAACGAAUAGUUCUCAUCAAGAGCUUCCAAAUGAUGUAAAUUUUAACUGUAAAUGGAUGGAAUCAGUCAAGUGAUUAGAAGGGAAAAGGCGACGGCUAUGGUUUAGUUUCAAGAUCUAAAAAUUGACAAGAACAAGAAAGCUUUGAAAGGAAAAGUUAAGGGAUUUGGAGAGAUGAGGAUGUGAGGAUCUUUUGGUGAAGGUUUGAGGGUGUUUGGAGGUGAGCCGCCGGAGAGAGGAGUUUUUGGUAAAGGUUUAAGGGUCGGGUUCAGACAGCUAUAUGGGGGGAAAUGAUUAGAUACGAGCCAUUUGAUGAACGAAGAGCAGCGACUGGGGAUUUAGGGGGCUAAACGAGGUCGUUUUGGGUUAGUGAGGGGGUUGGACCGGGUAGUGGGAGUGGACUGGGGCGAUUUUGGAGAAACAUUGGGCUUGAAACAAAAGCCUAGUCCGAUUUUUGCUUAGCAGCCCUUCUCUUUAUUUUCCUUCCUUGUUAGAUUUUGCAAAAUUAAACAUCUUUAAAUACCCCCUAAAUUGAACCUAUUUUGACAAAAUUAAAACUUGAUACCUUUUCCAUUUACCAAUUGAACAAAUUAAAUAUUUGAUAUUAACUAAAUAAUGCAAGGAAUAUGCGAAAUAAAAUGACUAAUAUUUUUUUUUAAUCAAAUAUCUAUGUGAUUAUGCCUUUAAAACUUUCAAAUAAACACCAAAAAUGCAAAGACGAUACAAAGCAAUUAAAAUUAUUUUGAAUAUUUUUUAGGAGUAAUUUUAUAUAUGGUGCAAAAAUUACAUGCUCACAGGAGGAACAAGCAAAUGAAUUUGCAUCUAAGCCGCCUGUCGUUGAGAUGAGCACUGAUGAUCUUUGGCAGAAGGUACAGGCUAGAGAAUACUCUGUUGUUGAUCACCUGAACAAGACUCCCGCCCAGAUAUCCAUUUUGUCACUAUUGCAAAAUUCAUACGCGCACAAGAAUGCCUUGAUGAAAGUGUUAAGCGAAGCUAAUGUGCCCACCAGUAUCACUAGCGGGGAGAUGGCUAACACGGUCGGACAAGUGCUGGAGAGUCACAAAAUUACUUUCCACGAAGAUGAGUUACCGCCAGAAGGGUUGAGCCACAACAAGGCAUUGCACAUCACUCUGCAAUUUGAAGACAAGUUCAUUACCAGGGUCCUGAUAGAUGGAGGUUCGAGCCAGAACAUAUGCCCGAUGACCACUUUGAAAAGAUUAGGUAAAGGCCUGUAUGAGAUACAGAUGGGAAGCAUGAAUCUGAAAGCGUUCGAUGGAUCUUAGCAAGAAAAUAUAUGAGAAAUCAACCUUGAUCUACAAAUGGGCCCGACCUGGUUUGAUGUCGAAUUCCAAGUGCUAGACAUAUUCGCUACCUACAACCUGAUAUUGGGACGACAAUGGAUACAUGCAGAUGGGGAAGUCGCUUCUACCCUGCACCAGAUUGUGAAGUUCAAGUGGAAUCAUCAAGAGACCAACCAGACCGUGCUAGUGAUCAAAAAAAAGAGGAAAUUGGGAGGAGAAACAUACCACCGCAUUGAGCGAGUAAACGAAAUUGAGAAGGAUCGAUGGUGGAGCAAUAAGAUAGAAAUCAUAUAGAUGUGGUUGGGAUAUGAAACAUGCAAGGGUCUUAGCCGAAUGCUUAAGGGGAGUAGAGAACCCAUACGACCACUGUAUCAUGGCACGGCCUUUGGGCUCGGAUAUAAAUAUAUCGUGCAAGAGUACCACGAUUGGACACUGCCCGGGCGCACUGAUUACUAUCCGCUGGAACAACCCAUACCACCACUGCACCAGACAUUCCGCCAGACUAACAUGAUUUGGGAUCCGAGGAAGAUGAGAUUUUGGCCGGUAUGAGGAAGUUGUUUUUAAACGAGGAAGCCAUGGACUGCAGUGCAAUUUUAGAGGAGGAGGAGGAAGACCUUACUAUUUAGACAGUGGGAGAAGGAGUUGUUCUCAAGAACUGGACCGCUGCACCGUCCCGGGCUCGCCGAGUACUUGGGUAGCCUGACAGAAUUAGCAUGACUUAUUUUUAAAUUGUUUUUGAGCAUCUAAGAAAUUUUCAGUGUUUUGUUUUGAAAUAAUUACUCGAGCCAUCGAGUCGUACUUGUUGACAAUUCUAAGCAUUAUUAAUGCAUUAUUACUUUUCGUAUUUAUUAUUAUCUUUCUACAUUCUUUUCAGCGUAAUUAUUACAUAUCCUAAUGAACCUACGACAGUGACAUGUAAUGAGACAACACAACAUAAGGACAGUGAUUUGGAAGAUGAUAUAAUACAUGAGGAAAUUAUCAAAGAAGUAGAGAAUUUUGAGAACAAACCAAAUUUCAAGUUGGAGGAAACUGAGGUAAUUAACUUAGGGAGUUUUGAAAUAGUCAAAGAAACUCGCAUAAGUAUUUAUUCAUCACCGUCAGAAAAGGAAAUAUAUAUCAGGUUUCUAAAGGAGUAUGAGGAUAUUUUUGCAUGGUCCUACAAUGAUAUGACUGGGUUAAGCAUAUUUAUAUUAGCUCACAAGCUACCUAAUAACCCCAUGUGUCCGCCGGUAAAGCAGAAGCUCAGAAAAUUCAAGCCAGAUAUGAGUGUGAAGAUAAAAGAGGGGGUUACCAAGAAAAUCAAUGCCUAGGUCCUUCGAGUAGUCGAAUACCCGACCUGAUUAGCCAACAUUGUGUCAGUUCUGAAGAAAGAUGGAAAAGUCAGGUGUGUGUUGACUAUCGAGAUCUGAGCAGAGCAAGUCCUAAGGUUGAUUUUACUAUGCCCAACAUACACAUACUGAUCCACAACUGCGCCAAGCAUGGACUCUAAUCCUUUGUGGAUUGCUUCGCAGUGUACCACCAGAUUUGGAUAGAUAAGGAGUACGCCGAAAAUAUAGCCUUUAUCACGCCGAAAAGGUGUACGUGGAUGAUGUUAUCAUCAAAUUUAAGAGAGGUUAAUAUCACAUAGCAGACCUGCGAAAGUUUUUUGACCAACUUCGAAAAUACAAUUUGAAGCUAAAUCCUGCAAAAUGUGCUUUCAAAGUCCCUACUGGGAAGUUGCUAGGUUUCAUCGUCAGUCACUGCGGUAUUGAGCUAGACCCGUCAAAAAUCAAAGCUAUUCAUGAUUUGCCACCACCAAAGAACAAGAAAGAUAUGAUGCGUUUCCUGGGACGCCUCAAUUAUAUCAGCCAUUUUAUAGCACAAUCAACUGUGAUAUGUGAGCCGAUCUUCAAGAUGCUGAGGAAAGAUGAUGCGACAAACUGGACCGAAGAAUGUGAAAAGGCUUUUGAAAAAAUCAAGGAAUACUUGUCUAAACUGCCCGUGUUGGACCCGCCAGAACUAGAAAGACCUUUGUUAUUGUAUCUGUGUUGGAUGGAGCCUUUGGUUACGUUCUGGGGUAACAUGAUGAAAUCGGAAGGAAAGAACAGGCGAUAUAUUAUAGGAGCAAGAAGUUCACACCUUACGAGGCCUGGUAUUAUUUACUAGAGCACACCUAUUGUACUUUGACAUGGAUAGCCCAGAUGUUGAGACAUUAUUUCUAUGUGUACACUACAUAUCUCAUAUUAAGGAUGGAUUCGCUCAAAUACCUCUUUCAGAAAACCAUGCCUACAAGUAAGUUAGCAAAGUGGCAGAUAUUGCUAACUUAGUUCGACAUCAUUUAUGUGACCCAGAAGCCAGUCAAAGGGCAAGCAUUGGCCGAUCACUUGGCAGAGAACCCCAUAGACAGAGAAUACGAACAAUUAAAGAUGUAUUUUUCCAAUGAAUAAGUGUCGUUUGCAGGCGAGGAUAUUGUCGAAACAUACGACGGUUGGAGGAUGUUUUUCGACGGAGCAACAAAGAUGGUAUUAGAAACUGGUCAACAUUAUCCUGUAUCCGCAAAGCUCAGGUUCCCGUGCAUAACCAAUAUGGCGGAGUAUAAGGUCUGCAUCCUGGGACUCAGGUUGGACAUCAACAUGAAUGUUCAGGAGUUGCUGGUAAUGGGAGAUUCUGAUCUAUUGGUACACAAAGUACUAGGAGAAUGGGCUACCAAGAACACUAAUAUUUCCAUACCUGCAUUGUGUACAAGAGUUGAUCAAGAGGAUCACAAAAAUAGAAUUCAAGCAUGUUCUGAGGAUCUAGAAUGAGUUCGCAGAUGCAUUAGCCACCUUGUAUUGCAUGAUACAACAUCCAAACAAGAAUUUCAUUGAUCUUAUCCCAAUCGAGAUUUGUAAGCAACCAUCUUAUCGUGCUCAUGUUGAAAAAGAGUUUGACGUAAAACCAUGGUUCCACCAUAUCCGGGAAUAUUUGGAGAUAGGAGAAUACUCAAAAUAUUCCACGCAUACUCAGAAGCGCGCACUUCGAAGAUUGGCCAACAAUUUCUUUUAGAGCAUAGGAAUUUGGUAUAGAAGGACUCCUGACUUGGGAUUGGUAUGAUGUGUCCAUGCCACAGAGGCAUCUAGAUUGCUCGAAUAAAUACAUGCCAAAACUUGCAGACCUUACAUGAGCGAUUUCAUUUUAGCCAAGAAGAUAUUAAGAGCAGGGUAUUUUUGGAUGACCAUGGAGACGGGCUGCAUCAAAUAUGUUAGAAAAUGUGACCAAUGCCAGAUACAUGCUGAUAUGAUACGAGUGCCGCCUAAAUAACUUAAUACAAUGAGUUCACCCUAGCCUUUCUCUGCUUGGGGCAUGGAUGUCAUCUGACCAAUUGAACCCACUGCUUCAAAUUGAUAAAAGUUCAUUUUGGUGGCUAUAAAUUACUUUACAAAAUAGGUUGAAGCCGCUUUCCAUAAGGCUAUGACUAAGAAGGUCGUAGUAGAUUUUGUCCAGUAUCGCAUUGUUUUGUCGAUUUGGAGUACCUGAAUCAAUCAUUGACAAUGUUGUGAAUCUCAACAGUGAUCUGAUGAAAGCCAUGUGUAAAACAUUCAAGAUCAAGCAUUGAAAUUCCACAGCAUACAAACGACAAAUGAAUGGAGCCGUAGAAGCCGCCAACAAGAAUAUCAAGAAGAUAUUAAGGAAAAUGGCGGAUUACUACAAGAAAUGGUCAGGUACCUGCCAUUUGAUUUGAUCAGGUACCGCACCACAUAUCGUACGUCUACUGGGGAAACCCCAAUAUACCGGUCUAUGGUACCAAAGUCGUUAUUCUCGCCACAGUGGAGAUUUCUUCCUUAAGAAUCAUAGAAGAGGCCGUGCUCAGCGAUGUGAAAUAGAUACAGAGUUGGUAUGAACAACUGGCUCUCAUUGAUGGUAAGAGGAUGAACGCAGUGUGUCACGGCUAACUCUACCAGAAUAGAAUGGCAAGGGCUUUCAACAAAAGGGUUAGAUCAAAGCAACUCACAUCGGGACAAUCGGUGUUUAAACAGAUCUUCCCGCAUAAGGAUGAAGCAACGGGGAAAUUCUCACCCAGUUGGCAAGGCCCUUACAUGGUUCACCGAGUACUGACAGGAGGAGCGCUUAUACUUGCAGAAAUGGAUGGAGAAAUAUGGCCAAAACCUAUCAACUCAGACGCAGUCAAGAGAUAUUAUGUUUAAGAUUAUAUUUAUACUUUCUAUUUGAUGUAACCUGAACUACGCUUGACCUAAUUCCCGUUUAAGAGGGGAUAUGUAGGCAGCCCUAUGGGUUCGGCCACAUCAUAAUAAAAUCUUCAUUACCCCCUAUGGUCAGAAACUGGGGUAAGAUUUCGAGUUCAUCAAUAUCAUUAUGUCGAAUAUCACAAAGAAGCAUAUCGCCAGAAGUAUGCAUAUAAACUGGGGCAAAAUUUUGAGGAGGGUCCUCAAAAUUCCGAGUUAAGGAGGUUACAGUGUCUCAAAAGCAUGUCACAAUCGCCGAUUCGACAAAAUUAUCCGCUUUUAUGCAUUAUCACAUAUUUUGAACAACAGCAAUUUAAAAAAAAUGAAUGAUGAUUUUUCACAAAUGCAUAUUUUCGAAAAUUUCAUUUUUCUGUAAUAGCCAGAUGUUACCCAGGGUGACUCGAACAAGGUAGCAAGACAAGGAGCAAAGUCGAAAUGAAGAAUCAAAGGCACGAACCAACCUUUCCCCAAAACUCACGAUUUUUCCUUGGAUGCAGUCACAAUGGACAUAAGGAGCAUGUCCGAAAAAUAUACAUACAAUAAGAUCAUUAUCUUCACACCGACAGAAGUCUCUAGGCACAAACGUGUCAAACUAAGGACCACUUCUCCCUCUCACAUUUAAUCGUUGCUUCUCCUGCAUAGGGCUAAGCACUACCCUCUUUACAUAGGGGCUAAGCACUACCCUCAUCAUUGCAUAAGGCUAAAUGCUGCCUUUCCUUGCAUGAGACUAAGCACUGUCUCCACUACAUUGCACGAGGCUACGCACCGCCUCCAUUAUUGCAUAAGGUUAAGCACUGCCUCCAUUAUUGCAUAAGGCUAAGCACUGCCUUCCCUUGCAUGAGACUAAGCACUGUCUCCGUUCUUUGCAUGAGGCUAAGCACUACCUCCAUUAUUGCAUAAGGGUAAGCAUUGCCUUCCCUUGCAUAAGACUAAGCACUGUCUCCGUUCUUUGCAUGAGGCUAAGCACUACCUCCAUGAUUGCAUAAGGGUAAGCAUUGCCUUCCCUUGCAUGAGACUAAGCAUUGUCUCAAUUCUUUGCAUGAGGCUAAGCACUGCCUCCAUUAUUGCAUAAGGCUAGGCCUGCCUUUCCUUACAUGAGGCUAAGCAUUGCCUCCACCAUUUUAUAAGGGUAAGCACUGUCUUUCCUUGCAUGAGACUAAGCACUGUCUCCAUUACAUUAUACGAGACUAAGCUCUGCCUCCAUUAUUGUAUAAGGAUAAACUCUGCCUUCCUCUUCAUAGGGCAAAACACUACCCUCAUCACACACAAGGCUAAGCGUUGUCUUGUCCCGUUCUCACAUACAACUAAGCAUCAGUUGUUGCCCUCUAUCAAAUGAUUGAUAUUUACACAUCUUUGCAUUUCAUGGGCUGAAACAUCGCCACAUUGUCCGAAGGCGUCAUAGUCUGAGGGCAUCAUCCUCAUAGCCGGAAGACAUCAUGCCAUGGCCGGAGGAUCUCUCAAAAUUGCAUAUCAUUAUUCCAAGGCGUCAUAGUCUAGAGGCACCAUACUCAUGGCCUGAGGACACCAUUUCAUGGCCCUCGAAUCCAUUAUCAUACGCUUCAUGGCCCAGGACGUCAUGGUCUAAGGACAUCAGCCUUAUCGUCCAAAUGCAACUCUCAAGGUUCGAAGGGAAUUUGCAUCAUGUUUAAAUAACCCAUCUAUGUUCGUGUGCAUCAUGUUUUAAGUUUUGCAGGUAACUCGGGAGGUAACCAUUCUACAAACACGAGCAAUUCUCCCUCUGGUUUCCAUCACAUCCUUCGAUCAUCUCAAACGUAACCGAUGAUUAGCAAUUGAUUACCCCUUGUCAUGUAACCUCUCAAAUACUUGCCUUAUACAUCCGUAACGUUAAAAUUCAUAUCUCCACCUGAUAUUAUCCAUUACUCACGAAACUAUCAUAUCCAAAAACAUCUUUUUCGAAACACACGACCACUCUUAUAACAACUCCAUUGGUUUCGUUCGCUGUUGGAUCCAGAACUACACACAACCCGAUUCCCUUAACACCAGGGAUAUGUAGGCAACUCAAGAACCAAGGUUCGGCCCACGUUUUUUCAAAAAACGCAUCAUCCCCACUUAUUUCGAACAAAAUUGGUCAUUACUUUCUUUACCCGACAAUUAGUUCAUCAUUCCCGAGUAAAGAGGGGCAAUUGUUGAUACCUAAAUUUUCCCUCAUAUUUUUUUAUAUAUAUCCUAUAUAUUUUCAAAAUAUCAUUCCUGCAUCAUCACCAAUUUACUAGAGUUAUAUAAGUAAUUUAUGUAAUUGUUCAUAGUUUUUAAGGCUUUAAAGUUAAUUUUCUUGCAUUUAAAUUAUUCAAAUAUUUAUUAAUUACUCCUUCAAAUUAUUUUGUGAUGACUUAAUCAUCCAAAUUUAAUUUUUACACCUAUAUAUAUGCUUUAUAAUAUUUUACUUCAUUUUAUAUAAUUACAUCUGCAUUUUGAACUAUUUACGCAUCUUUUGCAAUAAUAGCCUAUACUUUAUAAUUAAUUGCAUUUAUCAUUUUUAUUCAUGGUCAUAAUAAUUGUUUUUAUAUUUUUAUAAUCUUCAACUAUUAUUUUAAAAUAUUAAGUUUCAUAAAUAGUAUUUUAUUUAUUUAUUUAUUUAUCUAUUUUAUGAAAUUAUUUUCCCCUAAUUUCUUUUAUUUAAAAUAUGGCCCAAAACAUGCCAAAUUUAGGACCCAAAUCCCUAGCCCGAUUCCUCAGUAGCCCAACCAAAUUACCCAUUACCUUUGACCCGCCCAGUCUCUUGUUUAAUCUUGGCCCAUAACAAAUCUCCCGUUCUCCUUAUAUCCCCAUAACCAAACACUAGAGAACAUUCACCCAAACCGGUCGCCUUUGCACUCUAUCUACUCCUCUCUUCCUCUACACGAAGCCUAGCCGCCGUAUCUCUAAAUCCUCUCCAAAUAUGAGCCCAAAAUGGAAUAAAUCCAUUAUUCACUUACCUAUUUUAUGAUAUUUCGCUACUAUGUACGCGUAUGUGGUGUUACUUAGUUCUUGGCCUUUUUUUGGCAAGAAGUACCUUUCAAAAUCAGGCAUGAUUGACUUCGAUCUUUAAGGAUUCAAAUGGUAUUUCAUCUACAUACACUUGAAUGGAGGUGAUUCUUGCACUCCUAGUUUGAUUUUCAUACGAUUGAACCCGAGUAGGGUUUGUGAUUCUCCAUCUCCUCUACUUAUUCUGAUUUACAUGUGAUAUUUCCUUUCCUUAUUUGUGCUUAAUUGAUUGUUUUCUAUGUUUGUUCGUUUAAUUUUUACUACUAUAUAAAUCCCCAUUUCCAGUUCCCUUCUAAGUCUCAACGAUUUAUUACUUAACUACUAUUACCAUUACUUUGAUUCUUCUAUACUUUUUGCACUUUUGGCACUUUGUCGGCUGAAAUUUAAGGCCACCGGAUUUCGAUUAACUGACCUUCUUAGUGUGAGCAUUGCCCGGUGUUCAUCUAAAACCCUUGGGAACUCUGGAGCAUUGAGUUUUGGGUUCUGCUACUAUCUCUGAUGUCAACGACUGAAGUAUUGUUGGAAUUAUUCUUCUUGUUUACCCGUUUGUUAAUUCGCAACAUGUAAGUAUCUUUGGCUCUGUCAAUUUCAUUCCUUCUCGUUGUGUUCAUGUUUUGUACAUCCAUGUCACUUAAACUUUGUGAAUCUAUAUGCUACUGUGUUACCCCUGCCAUUUUAUGACUCAAAACUUUUCUAGCAUCUGAACUUGUCCAUCCUCUAACUCUGAUGUAUGCCUACUGUAUGUGCUCAACAUGAAUGAUUCUCACUACCUUAAGCAUGCCCAACCUAGUGUGUUUUUGUAUGUUUGAAUGUUUACAUUUGUCACUCAUCCUGAGUUUAUCUCUCUGCCUUGUUCUGUGUCUCUAUGAUAAAUCAAAUCAUAUGUUCUAAUUCCUGUUGGAUCAUUCAUGUGUACUUAAUACCCUACUUUAUAUCAUUUUUAUUUAUAUCAUGAAAUAGUUAAUGGCUUAAUAAUUAGAUAUUAUGAUAUCGAUUGAGUCAUGGCUUGCCUAGCGAGUAGGUUUGGUUCCAUCAUGACACACAUGAAUAGGUAAACCUCGUAUCAAACAACAGAGAAGCAUCUCUAUCGCAGACGAAACCUAAACUUGUGAUCAAAGAAUCUGAAGCCAAUGCCUUGGGUCUACCGGGAAAAGCAUAGCAACGAGCCCGACAUCCUUUGGUCUGACCUCCACUGACCUGGCCACUUUUUACGGCAACCUCUGUCUUCUUGUCCUCACCCUCUAGCUGACUAGGUAGGGGAUUAAGCAACUGGUGCGGGAACCACUGGUUGAAAACUAUGAAGCUACGCCUCUAGAAAUCCUGUGGAAAUACUUCCUCACAUGGAUGAAAUACUCACACUCAUAACAACCCCUUGUUAACUGAGGAUUUUUACCCCGAAUAUGCCAUUGAUGACCCAAAAUACUAACUAGAAGAACCCUAGACAGAUAUUGCACAAUAUGAACUCAAUGGGAGAGCACUAUAUGAUGCUGAAACUGGAGUAUUGAAAGAUGACAAAGCCACUACCAUGGGCUACAUGCUUUUGAGAAUGAGCUGGCAUACAAUGAUGGCCAUAUCAUCCUGAAACACAUGAGAACCAUUAAAACUCUCUCGAUGGUUAGUUGGUAUAGGAGCCUCAACAUGACCAUCAACAAUCUGAUCCUCUACUUGCUCUUCCGGUGGGUCCACUCAUGGGCUAUGGUGAGUGUUCCACCCCUAGUUGCGACCGUGUGACCCUUGGUGGGAGCCUUUGCCUUGCCCGAGGUCCUACCUGUCCUAGCUGUAUCUGGUGGUACUGCCUGUCCCUCAUCUGCUGCUACUACUGAAGCACACGUUUUCACUAUAUGUGAGAUAGUAGAAGAGAACGAUUUAGACUUGGACCAUAAUCAACACACGACAAAUAAUGAAGAAAGCAAAAGUUCCUAAAGAUUAUAGCCUCUCGCGGAUAGAUACUGAUGUCUCUCUGGCGAUCCACAUUACUCUAUUAGGCCUUCUCAUGACUUGUGAAGCUCUUAAAACUAGAGCUCUGAUACUAACUUGUCAAAACCCAAAACUCUAACAAAGGCCAUGAUGGUGCCUAACUCUCUUGCUAGGAAAUCCAACACUCAACAACAAUUAUAAAAGUAAAUUAUUAAGUCAUCAACAGUGUCAUGAUAUAUCAAUAAUAAGUGGAGUAAGUCUCGAAUCAACAUCACAAAUACACAAGUCUAAGACAGGGUCUAAAUACGACCAUAAUUGACUCCCAAACACCAAAACCUUAGUGUCCCAUCAUCCCGAGCAUUGUAAAUGAGUAAAUCAUCUCAACAUAAACGGGAAAGAAGGAACUAGAUAUGGAUAGAUAAGUAGGAAAGGGGGACUCUAUAUGCUCUAGAUCGGAUCAAAUGAGGAAGUUCACCACGAAGUUUCCAAGUAUGCUCCUACACUGCUAGAUAGGUACCAUUAGCACCUGCCUUAGAAUCUGCACAAAAAUAUACAUAAGUGUGGUAUGCACAAAAACACGAAAUAUAAUUUAGAUGCACCAACUCUCUAACUCAUGCAUAUGCAUACGAAAUAUAAUUAUAUCACGACCCCAAAAUAUUCUAGUCGUGAUGGCACCUAACUCAACCUACUAGAUAAGCUAAAUAAUUUUCAACACAACUUAAAUGAGAAUAAUAAGAGUCAAUGAGUAAAAUAACAAAAUUUCUAUACAAAAUCCCAAGGAUUAGUAGUACAAGCCAUGAGUCACUAAGACUUAGAUUUACAAAGCUGAUAUGAGAAUUAAUAUAACAUCUGUUUGGAAUGUUCAAAAACAUAUUACGAAUCUAAAGCUACCGAUGACAAGUGGCAGAUAUAUCCGGAAGCAGGUACAUCAUCAAUGCUAGCUCCCACCAUAUACAACAGCAUCAUCUCCAAGAUCUGCACGCAAGGUGCAAAGGUAUAGUAUGAGUACAACCCACCCCAUGUACUCAAUAGGUAUCAAACCUAACCUUGGGUUGAAAGCGGUGAAGAGCUCGGACAAUGGUCGGAGUCCAACACCAAUAGCCAAUAACAAUUCAUAACAAUAUAAUUAAGACAAUAAAAGUAAAUAACUUAAGAGAUGUUAUGCUCAGCUCGGUCACGAUUAUGGGAAAGAAGACAUGCAUUUCAAGUAUAACUGUAAAGUCCAAAGUUUACCACUGAAAAUCAAUUUCACAUGAUUUUAUCAAACGAACUAUGUUUUCCAAUUCCCAACAUAAGAUAAGACUUUUUGUUUACCCAUUAUCAUGAGGAAAGUACAUCUUUAUGCCUAUAUGUCAAUAAAAAUAUCAAGUCAUCAAAUGUCAUAUACUAUCUAGCAUAAGGGAAAUACAUUUCUAUGCCUGCAUGUCAAGUCAUCAAAUGUCAUAUUACCAUCUAGAAUGAGAAAAAUAUAUCUUUAUGCCUACAUGUCAAAUAUAGAUGUCAACUCAAUACCAUCACAAUGAAAACAUCAAGAAUAACCACACUUAGCAUGCUCACAGUGCCUGGGACAAGGCCUUCAUGAUCACACGAAUCAACAUUUAGCAUUGUACGAGUGCCUGGCAUAAAUGUCCCUCGCCAAAGCACAUAUAUAAAUCAUUAUGAAUGCGCCCACUGCUGGCAGGUCAGACUCUGGAGGGGCGGAUCCUACCCAAGUGCUAUUCAUAAUCACAUAGCCCAAUAAUGGGGCCUGGUGCACGCGUAACCCUAAAUCAGUAACACUUAGCACAAUAUGAGUCUGGCGUAUGUGUCACUUCAAAAUCAAUACUAAAUCGGCUCUAUGGCCCAAGCUCAAUCAUCAACCACUCAAGUUUCAGUUAACCACAUCUCACAGUACUCAAUUCAACAGUGUUACACAUAUGAAACAUCAACAACAUGUGAGGAAUCAAAUAAGAAAGUACUGAGAUAGAGAUAACAUACAUGGAUAUAGCAUAUUGACUAAGAGUAUGUGUACAAUUAAGGCAAAUAGCUCAUAAAUAGCAAAAUUAGCCCUAUCAUGUCUCAAACAAACAACACAUAGCCUAGACAUGAUUUCUAACAUGAAUCAGAACUCAAACAAUCAUACAUAUUUAGAAUACACAACUAUAACAAGGCAUGAAAGAAAACAAAUCCCACAAUUGUCUAGAAGCCACCUCAAAUCACUAAUACUCCGGUGAACGCACUCGCGCCCGUCACCUAGCGCGUGCAUCACCCCAAUACAUCUCAUAUAACAUAGUUACCAAGGUUAAUUACCCUCAAAUCCAAGUUUAGAUAUGUUACUUACCUUGAACAAGUCAAAUCAAAUACCAAGCAAACCAAAACAUACUCUAAAUAUGCCAUCCCACGCAAAUCAACCUCCGAACGGCACAGAACUAGCCAAAAGCAACUCGAAAACAUCAAAUAAUGUCAUAGAAAGCAAACCCAAGCGAUAAAUGUCGAAUCUUUAAUAAAAUACUCAAAUUUAACAAAAUAAUCAACUGGGUAUGCACCUUGGAACCUGACAAAACUCAAAAUAUGAUUACCUAUUCUAAUACGAGUCCAAUCAUACUAAUUUCACUCAAAUCUGACUUUGAAUCGAUGUGCAAAACCAAUUUAUUCACUUUGGAAAAACCACCAAUUUCUCUAAAUAAAACAUGGAUUAAUUAACAAAUCAACUAGUGUAAUCAUGUUAAAAAACAAAAAUUGAGGUUAGAUAUUGACUCCCAUGAAAAUGCGAGAAGAACUCCACGAAACUCACCUCGAUCGAAGCUAUAGUACUCAAGACAUGCUCAAAUUACCAAAAGAACGCAGUUUGAGUUUUUUAAUAUACAGAGAUUCCGCACCUUCGGUUUUCCAGCUGUCAUUUCCACUUCUGCGGAGUACUUUUUGCACAUGCAGGGUCAUAGAUGAGGUCCCCACUUUGCAUCUGCGAAGCACCAACACUAGCUCUCUUCUCCGACCCUAAAAUGGGCAUAACUCCCUCAUAUGAUAUCCAAAUUCGAUGAUUCUUUUUACUAUGGCUCCAUCAUUUUGAUACAAAUAUAAUGCUUUAGUAGAAAACAAUUUAGAGCUCAUUUUCAUAAUGUGAUACCAUUUUAUUCUUGAAGAAACGACGCCGAAAGAUCAAAUACAAGCGCAACACAACCCCAAACAUAUCUGAAACUCACUCGAGCCCCUCGGGAUCCUGUCCGAACAUACCAAUAAAUCCCAAAACAUACCAAGGACCUACUUGAGGCCUCAAAUAUCACAUAACUACAUCAAAACCACGAAUCACACCUCAAAUCAAGCUUAGUGAACUAUAUCAAAUUUUCAAAUUCCAAUCUUACGCCGAACACGUCUAAACAACUCGGAAUCACCUAAAAUUUUGCAAACAAGUUCCAAAUGACGUAACAAACCCAUUCUAACUCCUAGGACAACAAUCCGAACCCAAUAACAUCAAAGUCAACUCCUGGUCAAACCUAUUAACUUUUCAAAUCUUCAAGUUGCAAACUUUCGCCAAAGAGUGCAAAAACCUUCAAGAAACAUCCAAAUACAAAUCCGGGAAUACGCCCAAGUCCAAAAUCACCAUGCGGGCCUAACAGAACCAUAAAAACUCUGAUCAGAGGUCAAAUACACCAAAGUCAAUCUUGGUCAAAUCUUCAAACUCAAUUCUUCCAAAUUGAGAAUCAUUCUUCCAAAUCAAUCCCGAACCACUCGAAAACCAAAUUCGACGAUGCACGCCAGUCUAAUACAUCACAUGAAUCUAAUCAAUAUAUCAAACCCCUGAACUGAAUGCCAAUGCUCAAAAUGACUGGGUGGGUCGUUACAUUCUCCUUCACUUAAACAUAUGUUCGUCCUCGAAUGUGACAAGAGUAGUUCCAAAGACAUUAAAGUGUUGUAUAAACUCAUCACGCACAUACUCAUAGGUGAUCGCACAUCACUCCAAUCCAUAUAAGUCCGACAACACAACCUAACUACAGAUCCUUACACCAGCCUUAGUCCUUAAACCUUAUAACCCAAUCUCAACAUCUGAAAUUCAUUAUUAGAACCAGUUUUUGCAUCUAUACAAUGUAUAAGUGUAAAAGCUUUGUAGAAAUCCGUAACCAUAACCCAAGAUAUAAUCAAAUGAUAUAUCGUGUAACUUAGAUGCUUAUAGUAAUUUCGACCAUAGUAUCUGCUCAAUAACAAACCCGGUACCGGUAGCAAACCACAUAUCAAAUAAAACCUUUCCUAAUCCUCCAAACACUACCAAUUAUAAAAGAAACAUAUAGAAUAUCAUAACCACUCAUUAGAUCAACAAGUCGUGGAGCUCUUCGCCCUACAUGAACCGUAGCCAAAUUCUAAGCUGACUAGUGACAUUAUUCUCCCAAAUAUACCUUAAUCAAAUCCAAUAGCACUCAUUGCAGGUCCAAUAACUUCAUCUCAUCCAUUACAAGAUACUCGACCGACAUGGCAUACCAAUACCACCUAGUGCCACAUACCAUGUAAUCUGUGCACCAAAUAAACAAAAACUCAAAUGUACCCAAUGAUUGAAAGAGAAUUAAAUAAGAGAACCGUCUCGCAAGCUUAACAGAUACCACCACAAAGCACAAUGCUAUGAGCCCAUCGCACAAAGGAGAAACAAAACUCACAAAAUAAGCAUAAAUGAUCAUAUUCCAACAUAACUCUGCUGCGAUGCAUGACCCACUCCAAACGCCGGCCCACAUGGAUUACCUCGAGCCAUGGCGCUCGCAACCAACAACCAUAUUCAUAAAAACAACAAACACACAAAGUGCAUGACCAUAGCGAUGGAGAAAAGGAUGACACAAUAUACCACAAAUAGGAAGACCAUAACAAAAGUGCGACCAACUAUUCAAUACCCUCAAGAGGCAUCUUACUCAAAUUCCGCUACAAGGCCCAAACAGAACCGCAUCAUGUGUGUAAAUAGUCAACAAUAUCACAACUCAUUGUAGCAUAAAAGAUCAAUACGUGGAACAUAUCAGAACACGAAUAGGAUUAACUCUAGUUGAUGAUAAACCCCUCAACAAUAACUGUGUUAAGUAAAUAAAUCCAACCUGAUGUAGAAUACGCAUUCUCAUUAGGCCUACCUGUGGCCUCCAAAUCAAUUCUGAUCCUUCCAAAAUAGGUAGAUAACCUUCCCAAAUAUCCAUUGAAACCUAUCCAUAUCACAUACCAUCAGUCGUCUAACUCUAGCCAUAUCUUCAUAGUCCACAACCAAGGAAUAGUCCACCUCUAAGACUCCCAGUCUCCAAAUAACAAGAAUACAAAAUCUCCAUAUCUGAUCCCGACUCGACCACCCAAAUGACGAACACGUCUCUCAUGCACAAUCAUUUCAUGAGAAAUACUUCCAUAAUUCUUUUCUGGUACAUAGUAAAUCUGAACAUCAGUAGUCGAGCAACCAGAUGAUUACUUUAAUAAUAGUCAAGCAUCUGCAAUUAUUAACACAGUACGCCUUCUGAAGUGAGCAUGCUUCUCAGGUGAUACCAGAUAGUGCUUGCAUUCUUCUAAAGGUCUGAAACUGUCUAUUCCUUCUAGAACUCAUGAUCCUCCCUUCAAAACUGAACCGCAAAUUCGUACAUACAAAUCUCAAUCCAACAAGUCACACCGUAUCUAUCAUGCCAUCGUAGGAAAACACGAGAUUCCCUGUCAUGCUCCGACCUCGGAGAGCGCAACCAGCGCUCCACCGAGAUAAUCCGGUUGAGAAAGCUUGUACAAUACCUUCUAUCCGAACUCACCCAUGAAUAAAGAGAUCUAUUUCAUUAAUUAGACAAUGGGGAGGUCAUGUGAGCUGUAUUUGAAAGUGAUUUCUUGGAAAUGUUUUUGAAAAAAGAUUUGUUUUUAAAAAUAGUUUGAAAAUAUUGUUGGGGGAAGGUUUUGAUAAAUAAUUUUAAAAAUUAUUAUAGGUGGCACAUAUAUGUAUUUUUUAUUCUUGACUAGAUAUGAGUACGGGAACCGCUUUGGUUGAAACCACGUUGGCCAACUGUAUCUCCAUCCAAAGGUAAUCGGCUCGUCCCGUCCUCGUCUUUCUUUUUCGAUGUUUAUCAUCAUCGCCUCUUUAUUUCUGGCCCAGUACGCAGGGUCAUUCGGGGCAUCAUGGCCUCUAUAAUGCGAGGAUUAUUUUCCAAUGGCCUUGGUGUAUUAGAAGCUCACCAUAUCAGUAGCAUCAAACCAAGACAAAUAUUCGUUCAAGAAUGCAUUAUCAACGAUAUUCAAAAUAUUUAUUGUUAUCCUCAAAAGGCAUAUUGUUUCCAUAGGAGAAUUAUAACUAUAUCGUUAAAAUACCACUUACCAUAGAAGAGAUCCAGUCGUAACAAAACCCAAGAUGCAACUAAUCCAACACAACAUUUAUAGCAAGGAUAGUCGUUACUGUGGUCAAGCCAACAUAGAGGUUCAUGAGUGUUUAAAAAAUUAGUUUCGACAACCAAACACCAUUUUAGCAAGAGACAUAGGGGCCAAGAGAAUUCAAACAGUAGUAACCAAAUAUGAAAACAAACCAAAAGAGCCAUAGACGGAUACUUAAUAGUAUAACAAGGUUAAAACCCUAAUGAAAGAAAACGUCAUAGCAACAGUAAUAUAAACGGAGAGUCAUGAAAAGGGUAAGAAACAACUUAAGAAUCGGCCAUGAAUAGAUAUAACAAUAACCAAAGUCCUAUAUGAGUACAAUAGAAAAAAUAAACCAUAACAAUGGCCAAACAACAAUUCUCCGGAGUUUAAUUUUUCCGGCGCCAUAUCUGAUAAAUUUGGGGAGCGUAAAACCAAAACAUGUCAACAAUAGUACGACAAGAUAUGAGAUAUUACGACCAAGAUUUUGGCUGUAGAGGUGUAGCAACGACUCUUAUUAAGCUCGUCGGCCAGCUGGUGGUCAAACCAAGCUACAUCGAACCCAAUAGUCAGCGGCGAAGAGAGAGAGGGAAAGAGGUAGGGAGAUAGGAUAGUGAUGAGGAGUGGCCAUCGUUUGCAGUGGGAUGCCGUUGAGCUUUUUAUAUGAGGCAGUGGUGAAAUCCAUGAUGGGUGGCAGCCAAUUGUCUCUCAAAAGAGAGAGAUGAUAGGCUUUUUGACAGAGGGAUGACUACCUUAUAAUAAUGGGGUAGUGUUAGAGUUUUAGACCCCCUUUAAAAUAAAACAUCUAAUAGUGGGGAUGUGGGUUGUGUAGUUUGUAGAUAGUUUAUAUAAUGGGAUGUGUUUAAAAACAUGUGGUCCUUAUUAAUUUAAAAAUAAAAGGAAAUGUAAAAUAGAAAUAUGUGGCCACAGGUAAAACUACUAAUUCGAAAAAAUUUGCAAAACCACGGCCGGAUACAAUGUACAGUUAUUUUUAUUAUUCGCUUUUAUACAAUGUACUCUUUUUAUUAUUUGACUUUAUACCGUAUACCCUUUUAUUUUAUUUGUGUUUGUAUGUCACGAUAAAAUUAGCUUACGGGAAAGACAAAUCAGUGUGCUUUACCUAUUAGGUAGAAAGUUUAUCCAUUGAGUAGAAGAGAUGUCAUAUCACAUCACAUGUAUUGUUAAGUCAAAUAUCUUAUCAUGUCACAUCAAGUGUGUCAUCACAGCAGGCAUUGAUGGAACAUUAGAUUUUACUUGAUACGAUUCAUAUUUUGAAAUUAAUUCUAACGGCUUCCAUGCAACUAAUAGAUUGUGCUACGGAUUAAAGCAUUAUUAUUUAAAAUUACAAAUAUAGCUUGUAAUACUUAUUAAAAUGUCAACUACUACAACAAUAUUGUAGUAAUUAUUGUUUAUUAUUAUUAUUAUUAUUAUUAUUAUUAUUAUUAUUAUUAUUAUUAUUAUUAUUAUUAUUAGAUAAUACAUUUAUAGAAAAUCCUAAUAUUAGGAAAAUAGGAAAAUUAUCAAUAAAUUAUUUUGAUUUUUGGAUCCUAACAUAGUAUUUUGAUCCUAACAUAGUAUUUAAUUAAUUGCAACAAAAUUAUAAAAGCUACUGUAUUUUCUCCAAAAAUAAAAAUAAUUAUCAAUAAAUUGUAUUAAAGUUAAAAAUGUUCAAAGAAAUGCUAUAUUUUUACUAUGAAAUGACUAGGAAUCCUGUAAAAGUUAAUUUAAAAUAUGGAGGGUCAAAAUUGAGUGUCAACAGCUGCCCCUCUUUGACCGAAGAUAAAGUAUGAGUCUUCGGGCAAUGAUAUUGAUGCGAUUCUCAAUUCUGUCGCGGCAUGACAUAAUGGGGAAUGGGAUGUUUGGAAGAUUGUGACCAAACUCUGGUAUAUGAGUUGCCUACAUAUCUCGUGUUACACGAGAAUCAGGUCGCGUGUAGUUCUGGAAUAUUGAGUACUACUUAUGAAACGUUUCCUCAUGGAGUGGAAGACAUAUGUUAGAGGACAAAACAUUUCGUGUGAUCUCGACAUUGCUUGCAAGAUUGCCCCAGUGUUAGACUGCAGUAACACUGGGACAUGGAUGUUGGGUGAUAAGGGAAUUGGUUUGGAUGGAUUUUGAAGAGGGUGCGGUCGGACUCGGUAUUGAUUUCCCUACAUAUCUCGAAUGUAACAAUAUUGAUUUUUGAUUUUUAAUCCCAAACCUCAAGAUAUGAUAACACUGGUUUUAUUCUGACUAUGAGGGUUCGGAUUGCCUACACACCCCAUGUCAAUGAGACUUAAGGUGAACGAUACUUGGGGACCUGCCACUGAAUAAUGUUGAAAAGCUCGAUGUUUGUCCUAAAAAUCUACCCCUAGUUUAUUUGUUAGAAGAUAAUUCCGCGUUCUGUCGUGUAUUUGAUCAGGAGAGUUGAUGAAAUGUGGGCUAUGCUUCAAUUUAACUUGAGAAAGAUGGAUUGUGGUGGCUUGAGUGAUAAUUGUAUGCGAUGCGAGAAUGAUUUGAUUUUUAUUUUUUGAAUGAAAUAAGGUCCCAAGUUGGAACUCUAAUUCAAAAGGGAUCCGGGCUAAAUACCGGACCAAUGAAAUCCGGACUGUGUACCAGUCCGAAGUGAUAUCAGAGCAUUUGAAUUUUGAAGGAAAUCCGGGCUAAGUAUCAGUCCAAAGCGAUUUCUGAGCAUUAGAAAUGUGAUGAAAAUCUAGGUUGAGUACCGGUCCGAAGAGAUAUCAGAGCAUUUGAAUUUUGAAGGAAAUCCGGGUUGAGUACCUAUCAUGAACCAAAAUCCAUUAAAGGUCGUGAUGGCGCCGGACACCACUGUCACGCAACCAACACUAAAUAGUUAAUUAAAUUCUCAUUUUUAUAUUUUUGAAAUCGUAAAUUUACUUUAAUAUAACUAGUAAAAGAUGAAUUUACAGAAUAAUAACAAUGUUUUCCAAUUUCAAUACUGAACAUCCCAUAAUCAUCCUAGAACCCGGUGUCACAAGUGCGUGAGCAUUUUUUAGGAAUUUAAAAUAAAAUACAAUAACUGUCCGGAAUACAAAUUUUGACAGGAAAGAAUGUACAAUACUCUGAAGGAGACUAUGCUGCCUGCGGGUCAUACAUAAAAUGCAGCUCACCUAAAUCCCCGUAAUAACCCGCCUCUGCGCCCACAAGGCCACUAAUCAUAUAUAUACCUGCACAAAACGUACAACAAGUGUAAUAUGAGUACGUAAAUCAACGCGUACCCAGUAAAUGUCCCGCCUAACCUCGAAGAAGUAGUGACAAGAGGUCGACUCCGACACUUACUGUGGCCAUAAAAAAUAUAAGGUAUAGUAAAGAAGUGAAUGAAUAUGAGACCGAGUAAAUAUAUGAAACAAAAAAGUGUAAAAUACAUGGUACAAUUUUCCUCUUUACAAUUUACUCAAGCUCUCAACUAGUGAGUUCCCUCCGUAACCGGAGCAUAUAUUUAUAGAUGUAGUGGAUCUCAUCAAAGAGGUGGUUGUCAUAAUUCGAAUCGGGGAAAAACCCUCAUAUACACUGGCUUCUUGCCAAAUGUUACUCACUUCCACGAGGAUAAUGUAUAUAUAGGAUAUGCCGAGGCGUACGGCUCGAUCCAAUAUAAAAGUAAAUUGUGCACUGCCGAGGGUCGAACGACGCGAACCAUAGAUGCAUCUAUUAAUUUGCCGAGUCGAACGACCCGCUCCCAUGAGAGUGUGGUACAUAAUUUCUGCCGAGGCAAACAUCCCGAUCCCAUAAGAGUGGAAGAAGGAAAUACCCCGCUCGCGAAUAAUACAUGCGGCACAGUCAAAUAUAAAUUUAAGGAAUUUUCCCGCUUGCGGAUUAUUCUUGAGACGCGGUCAAAUAUAAAUUUAACAUUUAAAAUCAUAUCUCUUUCUUGAUUCUUUUCAAAAUAAGGGAAAUUCAGCUUGUAGCUCUUUAAGAAAAUUACCCCGCUCGCGAAACAUACAUGCAACGCGGUUACACAUAUAUUUCUUAAGUUAUUAUGGUGUUCCUCAAUUCUUUUCAAAAAUACGAAAUUGAAAUGAAAACCUUUAAGUUCCCAACUUUUCCUCAAUUUCAACUCCUUUCGAAACGUUUAAUAAGCUAACUCAAUUUCGCUUCCUUUCAAGGAAAACAAUAAACAUAAAUUCAACAAGAAUAGCAACAUGGCAUGAUGUAAGCCUAAAACUACCAGGACAUAGGCAUAGUUAGUUGCUACGGACGAACUCUCUUCACCUCGUGUGUACGUAGCCCCCACAAAUAGAAUCACAUAAUAAUUUAGUUCACCUAUGGGGUUAAUUCCCUCUUACAAAAGUUAGAAAGGAGACUUACCUUGCUCCAAAAUUCCAUAACCGACUGCAAAGCCGCUCCGACAAUUCAAACUGAUGCCCGUCGCUCCAAAACUAGUCAAAUAUGACGCAACCGAAUCAAAAUAUACUCCAAUACUCAUAAUUAAUCAUUUUAUAAUAAUUUUCAACUCCGUUCGAAAAGUUGAUACAAUCACCCACGUGCCCGAGUUCUGAAAAUUAUCGAAGAUAAACUUUACCCAUAACCCCACGAACUCAAAAAUAUAAUUUAUUCUCCAUUUCAUGCCCAAUUUCGUGAUCAAAAUCCAAGAAUACCAAUUUCUAGGUUUCCUACCAAAAUCCCACAAUUUCUACCAAUUGCCAUGUCUAAAUCCAUAUAUAAACUAUGUAUUUAACUCACAAUGUGCGGGAAUUACUUACCUCAUAAUAGAUGAUGAAAUCUCCUCUUCAAAAGCUCCAAACAUUACCCAACAAAAAUAAAAUGUGGAGGAAAAUGGCCAAAUCCCGUAUAUAAAACUUCACUGCCCAGGUCCGCCCUUCUUCGCGAUCGCGGAAAGACCAUCGCGAUCGCGAAGGCCAAAGACACAUUGUUCCCAACUUUCCUCUUUGCGUUUGCAUUCCUCACGACGUAUUCUUAAAUCUUUCCGCCCUCAUUGCUUUGUUUUCGCAUACCCAGCCUCGCGUCUGCGUAGGCCAAACAUCCUCAGGCCAGUCCUCCAUUCCUUCAACGCGUUCGCAACUCCCCACUCGCGUUCGCGUAGGUUCCUCAAGUUCUUCACCGUGUUCGCGUCUCAACCUUCACGUUCGCGAAGGCCAAAUCCUAGCAGCCUCAAAGUGUCUCUUCGCGAAUGCGGGACUCCCUUCGCGUUCGCGAAGAAGGAAACCAGAUACCAGAUACAGCAAGCAGCAAAUCAUUCAGUUUUGGUCCGAAACCACCCCGAAACACACCCGAGGCCCCCGGGACCCCGUCCAAUCACACCAACUAGUCCCAUAACAUAACACAAACUUGCUCGAGACCUCAAAUCACAUCAAAAUCAAGAAUCGCACCCCAAUUCAAACUUAAUGAACUUUGAAACUUCAACUUCUACUAUCGAUGCCGAAACCUAUCAAAUCACGUCUGAUUGUCCUCAAAUUCUGCACACAUCACAUUUUACAUUACAGACCUACUCCAACUUUCGAAAUCGGAUUCCGACCUCGAUAUCAAAAAGUCUAUUUCCGUUCAAACUUCUCAAAAACCUUCAAAUUUCUAGCCUUAGCCAAAUGACUCCAAAAUGACCUACGGACCUCUGAAUCCCCUUCCGGACGUGCUCCUAAUACCAGAAUCACCAAAUGGAGAUAUUCCCAGACUCGAAAUACCUAACGGACAAUGAUAAUAUUGAAAUGCACUUCAACCCAAAUUUAUGAAAUUCAUCCAAAAUGCCAACUUCCACGAUAGGCACCCAAGCGCUCCCGGGUCAUCCAAAACCCGAUCCGGACAUACGCCCAAGUUCGAAUUCAUCAUACGAACCUGUUAGAACCUUCAAAUCCCGAUUCCGAGAUCGUUUACUCAAAAAUCCAAUCUUAGUAAAUUCUUCCAACUUAAAGCUUCCAAAAUGGGAAUUUUCUUUUCAAAAUUAAUUCUGAAUUUCCGAAAUUUCAGUUUCGACCAUGCAUACCAGUCAUAAUACCUGAAGUAAUGUUGCUCAUGGCCUCAAACUGCUGACCGAUGCUCUAGAGCUAAAAAUGACCAGUCGGGUCAUUACAGUUACGGUCUGAAGCGAUAUCGAAGCAUUUGAAUGUAAAAUUGGUUGGUUGUUAUGGUUUCGAAGUGAUAUUAGAGCAUUUGAAAUUUAAAAUACCCGUAUUAGAAGGUUGGUUCCUGUGAAAACUGUCUUUGAAAUGUAAUGCCCAUUGUUCAGGAGUGUGCCUAAAAAAAGCAAGAAGCUAUUUUUGAAAAUGUAUGAAAAGAGGGAUUCUACUUGACUUUUUAUUUAUUUAUUUAUUGUUUUCUUCAUUUUUGUUGUUUUUGUAACUUUUGUAGAGAAUGUCUGAAAAUUGAGAAGAGUGAAGAAAGACUGUGAUUUAUUUUUCGAUUAUCAUUCUUUUUUUUUGACUUGACUUUGGUUGGUACCAAUAAUUAGUUUUGUGCAUAGGAAUUUCCACCAUAUACUUUCCACCAAAUCGAGAUCAACUUUUGGGUAAUUCAUAUAGCAUCGAGUAGUACUUCAUGUACACCUCAAUAUAGAUAAGAUUUGUUUGUCUUGCUUCAAUCAAAGGUUUUUAAUAUCCUCAUGUUUCAUGUUCCCUCACCAAAAGAAAGUCCUAAUUUUGACACAUUUUUGCAGUAUUCUAGUUUUUAGGACAUUUUGAAAAGUACACUCACAGUUAGAAAGAUGUUCAAUGCAUGUAGUUGAGAUACCAUAGGCUUGACCUUUAUGUUAGUAUCCACUAAUGUGAGAACACUUGGAAUAGGAUCAUGUAGGACUUAUUAUUGACUUGUAAUGUAGGCUCGGGGACGGAUAAGAUAUUUAUUUGGGAUAAAAGUGACUAAUUCCUCCUUGAGCACUGCUUUGUAUCUGUGUCUUCGGCGCUUGAUCUUUGUUUUGCUAGAUGUCCGUUUCUUUGGUUUGACUUCUUUUAACUUGUCAUGUUUUUCGAGGUUUUUCUUCCUUUUUCUUUUUGAGGUUUCCCCUUAUUUUCUUGGAGUUCCCCACUUUCUUUCUUUUUUGUUGUGGAGUUUUUCUCCCUUUUUGUCGGAUCUUCUACUUGAACUUAUGGAAGUUUCCUCCUUUAUUAGGUUCUCCUUUUGAUUUUGUGGAAGUUUCCUCCUCUUGUUAGAUCCUCCUUUUAAACUGUGGAGUUUUUGCUUUCUUGCUUGAAGUCAUGUGAUGACCUAAGUGAUCGUCUUAUGUAUUGUAGACUCGUUCCCUGUUUAUUGUUUAUUCUAUCUUCUCUUGUGGAUAUGUGACUUUCUAGAGUGGUUGGUUUGGUUCCAGAGAUGUUUCGGAGUGAAUUAGGACAACUAGUCCCAAGGUUGGAAGCUUAAGUUAGAAGAGUUGAUCGGAUGUUGACAUUUAUGUAGACGAUUUCAGAAUGGGGUUUUGAUGGUUUUAUAGCUUCAUAUGGUGAUUUUGAACUAAAGCGUAUAUCCGGAUUUGGAUUUGGGGGUCUGUAGGUCAUUUUGGCUUAGAAUUGGCAAAAGAUGGAAAGUUGAAGGUUUAGAUAGUUGAGAAGUUUAACCGAGAGUUGACUUUGCUGAUACCGGGCAUGGAUUUGGGUUCCAGGAGUUGAAAUAGGUCCAUUGUAUCAUUUAUGACUUGUGUGCCAAAUUUGAGAUAAAGUGGUGUUGGUUUUGUAUGAUUCGACGUUAGUUUAGAAGUUGGAAGUUCAUCAGUUCAUUAGGCUUGAAUUGGGGUGCGUUUCGUGAUUUUAAUGUUGGUUGAUGUGAUUUGAGGCUUCGACUAUGUUCACAUCAUGUUUUAGGACCUGUUGGUAUGUUUGGAUGGUGUCCAUGGGGCCUCGAGUGUGUUUCGGAUCAAGUUCUCACUCAUUUUGGACUUGGAGGAGUUGUUGAUUUCUGUGGAUCUAGUUUCCUCUUCCGCGAUUGCGAGAAGAGGGAUGCGUUUGUGAAGGGUUAAUUUCAGAAAGUGGGCAUUUGUUCAACGCAUUCGUGAGUCACAAAAUGCAAUCGCAGAGAUUUUGUUAUUUGUGCAUCGCGAACGCAGGAAAUGGGACGUAUUCGCGAGGAAGGAAGGUGAGGCCUGGAAGUUGCACGCGUUUGUUCUUUGCGAUCGCGUGUGUUUGUCUGCGGUCGCGUAUGUGUGAGUUGCUAAGCAUCGCAUUCGCAACUAGUAGUUCGUGUUCACGUAAACCAUUUUGGAAGGGCAGUGAUUUUUGUUCUUCGAUAUCGCGAGGGACUUUCCGCAAGUGCGAAGAUGAACAUCUUGGCGGAAUAUUAAAAACCCAAAUCGAGGGUUAGAGUAUUAUUUUCAUAUUUGGAGUUGUAGAGCUCGGUUAUGGGCGAUUUUGGAGAGGAUUUUCAUGUCUUGGAUCGAGGUAUGUGUUUUGUACUUGGUUUGUCAUUAUUUCAUGAUUCCAUCUUUGUUUUAGCAUUUAAUUAGUGAAUUAUAGAGAAGAAAUGAGGGAACUUGUGGAAACUUUGCAACAAUGAAAAAUGGAGGUUUGAAGGUCGAUUUGAGGUUGGAAUUGAAUGAUUUUGAUAUGGUUGGACUCGUAAUUGAAAGGGUAUCCGGUAUUUGUGAAUUUUGCCAAGUUUUGAAGUGAGGGCCCGGGGUUGACAUUUUGGGUUGAUUUUUUGAUUGAGUUAAACAUCUUAGCUUCAUCUUUUUAAAUGACUUCCAAUAGCUUUUACUGAUAUUAUUCUGUUAUUUUUGCUAGAUUCGAGCCUUCCGGAGGUUACGCACGGGAAGGGCUUAUUAGUAGAGUGAUUGGGUUUGCUUGAGGUAAGUAUCUUGUCUAAACUUUGUGGAGGCAUUAGUUGCCUGAAUUAUUUGUGAUAGCUACAUGCUAUAGGUUGCGCAUAUGUGUGGGGUUGAGACAAUAUGUGUGUACCAGGGUACUAUUUCCAUACUCGGGGUAGUGCUUAAGUUAUGACAUGCCUUGAAAUGAUAGCUAAGUUUCAAUUUGAGAUGUUUCUCCUAUUCGUACACCUCUAUGAGCUAUUUGUACCAUAUUUGAGAUUUUGUUGAGGUUAUUCUUCCGUUUGAACCUGAUAAACUGAUAUUUCUUGACGGAAAUUGUUUGUUCUAGCUGUGAUAGUACACAUUGCACAUGCCUACUAUAUAUCAUGUUAUUUAUACAAGUCCAGGAGUAUGAAACUUGAUAAUCAUUAAUCAUGUUCAUGUAUUCCCGCAUAUUUUCUUUCUAUGUGUUAUGAGCUGGACUGGUACCGUGUAACCACGCCGGGUGGAUUGUAAUUAUAUGAAUGUGAGUUGUCCGUGCGACUAAUUCUAUUAACACGUGAGUUGUUCCUGCAACACAUGAAUUGUCCUAGCAGAUCCAGUUAUUGAUAUUAUUAGCACGUGAGUUAUCUAUGCAACACGUGAGUUGUCUAUGCGGUUGAUUCUAUUAGCACAUGAGUUGUCCUUGCAACAUGUGGAUAUGGAUCCAUCCCCCUAGGGUCACCCUCUAAUAUUUCUCUCUCGAUGGUGUACACAUGGUUAUUGAGGAAAACUGAUCAGUAGUUUGGUACGGAUAUACAGAAAGGUUGAGGAAAGUCUGGCCAGUUUUAUUUUGGAAUUGCAUUUCAUCUUUACUUGCAACUUCCAUGGUUUAUUAUCUAAUUAUCGGCAUAUCAUCUUAUAUGUUGUACCCGUGAUUGAACAAAGAUUUUGAGUUGUCAAGCCCCAAACAUGGGGAGGCGUGGCCGGCACUCGGUGCCAUACUCGGUCCGAGCGUACCACUCUAUAACUGUAAACUUUAGAGGGGUAUCCCUCAACUUAGGCCGACAAGGUCUUCCUACAUGCUGACAAUACCAAUCGAGGUCGAUGGGGCCAUAUUUUUAAUCAUCUGAAAAUAACAUCUCUCUUAUUUGAGGGGUAAACAUACCCAAAAGCUCAUAUACAUAAUUGUGCAGGCCGACGAGGUCACCAUGGAUGUCUCCAACCAGCAAUACCAAACUGAACAUAUACACUGGGCUGGAAAGGCAACAAUACUAAUAUACAAAAUACACAGAACUCAUCUACAAGCCUCUAGAGAUAACUGAACUGUAUCAUGGUUGGGACAGGGCGUCGACCUACCCAGCAAACCUAUAUAUAUAUAAAAGGGACUCCAAGGUCUAGACAUGGUAACUCCGAGCAAGUGGAGCUUACCAACCAAGGUGUUGUUUGACUCUAUCUUGUGGGAAGGUCUAUCUAGCUGUUUAUCAAGACUUGCAGGCAAGAAAUGCAGCAUUCCCGACAAAAAGAACGUUAGUACGAAAUAAUGUACCGAGUAUCUAAGGCAACAAAUAACUGAAAGCUGAAACUGAACUGAUAAUAGAAUAACUAAGAGUAACUGGCAGUCAAAGAUAAUCUGAAGAUAUGCUUACCUACUGGUACUGACUCAACUCUCUCAAUAUAGUAAGUAAAAUAGAUGUCCAGUGCUAUAAGGCUCGGUAUGUGUAACUACUCUAUCAUAGUAGGCUCGCUUAUAGGCGCUUCGCCAUACUAGGAUAUUUAUCUCGGCCAUUCUGGGCUUGCUCAUAGGUGCUCAGCCACAAUAGGAUUGAUAUAUAACUUAACAUAUGAUCAGAGGUUGCCCAAUAGGGGCCUGCCCACCGAUUAUAGCUCGAUCGUGGUGAAAAUACUGUAGUGCUACACAGUAGGUGCCUACCCACCAAUUAUAGCUCGAUGGUGGUGAAAAUACUAUAAUACUGUAUCUAUAUUGACUGGAAGAAGAUAAUACUUAACUUAAUAGAAAGUCCCCCAAAGGGAGAAUACUAUAACUUAUGAGACUAGGAUAAUGUGAAUAAAUUCCGGAAUACGAACUUCUCUUUAUGUCUCGUUAUCAAACACAUGUAGUUACGAGAUCUUGUCAAAAUAAAGAAAAGAUUUAGCCUUAACAUACAUUUUCACAAUCUAUCCAAUAACCACGUUGAACUCAUUUUGUUGCACCUUAAUCUACAACAACGAUAACAAUACUAUCAUCAAGUUACGGAAGGUACAACUAUCACACAACGAACGACAAACUUAUUUUAUAAUAAAGUGGGCAGCAUCUCCCCUCUAAUCUUUAUUUCCUCCCAAUUUAACAUAACACCAACAACAACAAGAACAUAGCAAUAACAACAUGUAUACAUCAUUUUACAACCUUAUAUCUAUCACAAAAUACCACAAAACUGCCCACAUUCCCCAAUCAGUUCAUACACAAAACUACAAACCUAGUAGUGUCAAACAACCCGAAAGUGUAAUGAUGAAUGACCAGCCAACCACCCUGUCAUUAUGUGGUGUUUCUCCACACCCUUUCUCCUCCCAAACUCCAUAAAAACAGUAUCAAAAUAGACAACCCAACUCCAACACAAAACAACCCACAAAACAGUCCCACAAGUUCAGCAACUCAAAACUGAUUUUUCAGUUUACUAAAACAUGUUUCGACUUGUCUUUUCUUUCAAAUUGAGCAACACAACCAACAAUACAUAAUUUUGCCUCUUAUCCUAUAAAACAACCAUGAAUUUAACUUAAAAAUAUGUUCACAACCAGCCAACAAUGACGCAAUAAUAAACAAUAUACCACUCUUUUGCAACUCGCUAGGUCUAGUGUUUACGAUCUUGUUAUAACUCGUAGAAGCAUAGAUAAUGGAAAGAGAAGCAUAAAUUUACCUUGGACUGAGUAGAACCCACGAAGACUAGUCCUUAUUUAUCCGAAAUGAGUCCCCCAACGCAGCUACAAGAAGGAGAAAGAGAAACUAGGAAGUUGUCCGGGGUUUUCUCCACUAGAAUAAUAUUGUAUCACCCGAAAUUACCUAGGGUUUGUGUGGGAUUUUUGGAGAUAAUUUGCAGGGGUUCAAUAUGAUUUUUUUUGGUUUGAGAAAGGAGUGAAAUAAAUGAGCUAAUAAGUCCUUAAAAGACCCCCUCUUGGCCUCCCCUCUCUUGUCACUUUAGGAGCUUUUAAUUGAGGCCUCUCCUUUUGAAUAGUAGGUGAUACACCUACUUGUCACCUACCAGUCUUGCAAAGAUGAAAAUAUCUAUCUCCUCUAAUGUUAUAUCAAUAAACGGUUUAAUCCUAUAAUAACUAGACUCGUAGAUCUUCAAUUUGGUGGGAAGAUCAUCCCGUAAUUCCAAGUACAUUGGGAGAAAUGCUCAACUACAUUUGACCUAAUUUUAAGCAUAUUUAUGAAUGUAACUUGUGAUGACCUUUGCCAACUUUUGUUUCACAACUCGCUUUACUUCAAAACAUAACACACGAGUAUCAUAAGACUAAAAUAACUCAUAACAUAACCUCCUUAUCAUUUUGAGCACCCUAGUCUCAUCCCAAAAGUACAUGUUAUAAUAUUCCCAACUUGUUGACUUUCAACGAAACUUUUUUUUUUCAAUUUGUUUAGCUUCUAAGUCAUCCAACCCUCUUGGUACUUGUUAUUAAUGAUCUUAAAUAUUUGCAACCUCCAAGGUAACAUGAUUAACUUACAUUAUAUUUUUUUAAAGAGGAUCUCAUUUACGAGCUUACUUCAAUUGACUGACGACGUACUUUUGCGUACAAAAAUAUGGGGUGUAACAUAAUUCCCUCCUUUGGAACAUUCAUCCUUGAAUGUUGACUGGUGCGCUUAUCAGUCUUAUAACCUAUAGCUUUUAUGAAUAGUUUAAUAAUGUCCUUGCCAUCUAGGCAACUGUUCUGUGAAUAAUUCCAAUGGCUAGGGCAUUUACCCCUUUAGGCCUCUUUCCCACACCACAAUAUGUAGUCGGAAUUUUUCCAAUCUCGUAACUGUUGCCACCUUCUGUCAUGCAGCCUGUACGACUCUGUCUUUGUAUGUGCGCCUAUGCGACUCUUCUCUCCUUUUUCCUCCAGCUUUUACUGAAUCUCUAUGCCUCACUCUGUGAAAGCAUACAAUCAUAUGACAAGCUGUCCCUCUGGGCAUCUAGUGGUGUAAUGAAGUUCUUCGCUUAGUACUUUGUCAAACUUACGACUAUUGCUAUAUCUGGUUUAAUAGCCUCAAUUAUCUAUACAUAUGUCUUUACUACAUCAAGGUAGGUCAUAUUAUACCAUAACACUUACUUCCGUUUAUUAUUACCGAGGUUUGCUACCUAACUUUAGGUUACUCGUUGCUUAUCCUAUAUGUAUAAAUCUAAGUCCUUUAAUGCUUCAUAAUUAUUUUUCAUGUUAAGAAUGACAACCUAAUCUUAUCUCAUACUUUGGAACUUUUAUCCAUAUAUUGUUGAUUCACCUUAAUGUUGAUCUAUAAUCUACCACUGAUAACAUGAAUUUUCUUACGUAACACUGUCACUAGGGCUCAAGUCUAAUCGGGGAACAUCUGAAGUGAUUAGCCUGAUCCUCCUAGGGGCGAUACUAUGCUUCAAUAACCAUAUUUCAUAACAUCCCAACGUGAUUCAUCUUAUGGGGGUUUUCUAAUCUUGUGUAGUUCAUGAAAUCCCUUUUCUUUAAAUCAUUACUCAAUCAAAUGCCUAAAUGUCAUUCUCUUAUCAUUUAUCACAAUUAAACUAUCACUCUACUACCAAGACACCAUUCCAUCUUUUCUAUUUAUACUACUUGCAACCUUUCUUUAAAUUGCUAGCACCAUAGAUUUUCUUAUGUUAUUCUAGAACCUCAAGUGAGACAUCAUGUCAUCUCUAAAUCUUCUUUACUCUCUUAACUAGACCUUUCGGUACCUGAAAACCAUAGGCUGGAAGAUAUGUCACCGACGACACCACUAUCAUUGCUGGAUACUAAAUCACGGUGUUUCUAGCCCUCUAUAUGAAAUCUGGACUAUUCAUAACCUUCCGCACUUAAGUAUCUCGUACCUUCUUUACCUUUACCUUUCUUAUCUUUAAAUUUGGCAUUGUAUCUUCUGUCGCUUUCAUAACCUUCUUUCCACAUAGGUGGAAUUCACGUCCAUAACUUAAAGAUCCACAAUAGUACUUGCACAUCCGAUGCAUACACAUUUCGACGGGAGCUUCAUACUGACUUCUUAUGAGGCUGGUACUCUUCUAACUGGCUUUAUCCUAGAGCCGUUAUACAAUAUGGCUGUUGUACUAUCUCUCUUGUACCUCUGAUAUUAAGAGUGAUUCUGCAAUGUUCUUAAUCACGAUUCCUAUAAUAAUUUGGAUCUAAUAAUCAGAAUCCUCAUUUACUUAGUUGAUGUAACUCUUUAGAUUCCUCUUCUCUCUCAGCCUUUAAGUAGGCUUAAGAUAUCUUUUGAUCUGUGGCUCAAGGUAUUAGUUAUUACAUUAGCCUUUCGUGGACGCUAUGGAACAUACAUGAUAUAACCUUCUAACAAUUCAAGCCUUUGUUUGUGACGUGGACUCAAUUCUUUCUUUUAAAUUAUACUGGACUCUUCUAUAGUUGCAUGAAUGACAACAUAUAUGCUGCAUGGAUAAUACUAUGAAUCUUAAGUGCGUUCAUAAUGUAACUAAAUCUGGGUCAUUCAUCGAAUAAUUCCUUUCGUGCCUUCUCAGCUUUCUUUAAACAUAAGCAAUUACUUAUCCUGGUCUUUCUAGCAGUUGUUGCAUGAAUACUUAGGCUUAACUUAGUUCCCACGCAUGGUGGAAUAUUUUACAACUCAUAUGAUCAUGAAUAUUACUUUUGUUUACUUUCCGUUCAUUAGCCACGAUAGGUACCACUUUCUUAGUGAGUGCAUACAAUAUUGUAGUGAGAUUGUUGUUAAAAAACCAUUUCUUCUUUAGGUUACUAUGCUUAGGUUGAAGCGUUCUUCCUUAUUUCCUCAGCUAAUAUUUUGUGGUAGUACUUAGGGAAGACUCUCUAACUCUUGUAAAGCUGCAAGUUUAUUACAUCAUAUACCCGACAGAAUUUCUGAUGUUCUUACUCACUUAUAAAUAUCCUUAGUUACAUACCUCUAUGCCAUUGUUCUCAUAGGGUUACUUCUGAACUCAAAUAUUUUUUGUUGUUUCCCCCGUGGCACUAUCGUUUAUUUCCGAAACACUUAUACGGCAACUAUAACUACCUCAACUCCUAUCUGAAUAUUUCUCAAGGAUUACAAUGUCGUAUCUGCGAGACUGAAUUCCCUAUGUUAGGUUUUACUAGGUUUAUCUUGCAUGAUAUGUUGAUUUAUCUGUAUCCUGUUGUCUAGCCAUAACUAGGCUCUUCCUGAAUCAACUACUAACUACUCAUUGGUCCAUUCUCAUAUCUAUAUUUUGGGUAAUCUCUCUUGGGUUGUUUCCUUUGUCUUAACAGACCUCUCACACUGGCUCCUUAUGUAUCAAGUGUUCAUUCGCACUUAUUUAUCAAUAACAUCCUUGGAGAAACCCUUAAUGCAUUGCUCCGCCAUCGUGCUUGCAUAAUGUUCUAGAGUCAUAACAUAUCUGUAGGAUCUGAAUAAAUGCAAUCUCAUCCCUUGCGCCUUUUUACCACAUUCAUCCUUUACUAUUCCAUAGUUACCUCUUCAUAUUUGGCAUCGUUUCACAUCUUCACUGACUCUUACUCGCCUUGUGGUUACCCUUCUUUGCCAAGAAUAACUGAAUUCCUUACGCACGAGGGUGACACCUAGUGUAACUGGCACACUUAGUCCCUUAAGCUUAACUCUGCUCACACUGCUUGUUUUAGGGAAGUAUAUUCUUGAAUGACCUUUAAAGGUUAUUCUUCUGUUGUCCAUUCAAUUUUUGUCGGAACGCGGUCUCUGAAAUUCUCAUGAUGUCGACUAUUAUCAAAACCUCUGGUCCCUAAUUCAUGUUCAAUUUAUCUUGUUUACUAGCCUAUGUUGAUUUCUAUUACUCCGGGGGUCUAACUUAGCCUUCUGCUAAUUACGUUGGAGUCGCCAACNNNNNNNNNNNNNNNNNNNNNNNNNNNNNNNNNNNNNNNNNNNNNNNNNNNNNNNNNNNNNNNNNNNNNNNNNNNNNNNNNNAUUAUCACCCAUUUAUCACAUAUUAAUCACAAUGCUUCAAUUACUAUCUUUUCAUUUUCCUGCUAAUAUUUUUGUCUAUUACCUUAUUUUGAAAACUACAACAAAAGUUUCUUUUGUUUUUAGCUCCCCUUGCCCCAUCUCACUAGCUCUUCGGGUCGCCUAACAUUCUCUUUUUACCAGGGUCAUGAGUCAUACUAAGGAAAUAGUUAUCCCUUCUAGGAUUACAAUGCUUAUCUUCUAAAGUUUUUGAACAUUCUAGUAUUCAUAUCCGACUGUUCUAUUCUAGUUUGCACCAUCUGGGUGUCUCACAAGGAGAAGUAUUACCACGUUUGCAAUAUCCUUCAAAACUGUAAUCUAGUGCUAACAAUCCAUCCACUAUUUUGGUUUAUUCUAACCCCAUCUGGAUCCUGAUAUCCAAUCCUUCUCGAACACUAUAUUUGUUAGCUCCCAUAGGGCAUAACUGAGAUGGGUGUGGCAAAGUGUAAAUACCUAUGUUACUAUUGAAGGUAACUCAGAAUGCUUAUAUUUCUCCUCCAUAAUUGAAAAUACUGAUAAUAUUCACUAAUUUGGUACCUCGUCCGCUCCUUCGCCUUGCUUUUGUUACCAAUUGAAACUUAUUCUCUCACCUUCUGAUACUUCCAUGGCCUGCUAUUCACGAGUUGUGCUUGAUAUUCCCAUCAUAGGGUCUUAAGCUGGAUAUUUUCACAUCUGGUACGCAUAAUUUGAUAGUGCCUCAAAUAGGGCCACAUCGUCAAGAACUCUCUCUCUAUUAGUGCCCUUACCUGUUGUUGUAUUAGCCCUCUGGCUAGCUGAAAUCUUCAUAAUUGCAAACAUCUCUGCAUCAUUAGCAAACAAAAGUCGUGACUCAAACUCUUAUGACUCAGCUCUAUAACACAAUUUGGAUUUGAAAGAAGGGUAACAAACUCCUAAAUGCCUAGUAGCUUCCUGUUUAUAUAAUGUGAUGCACAAUACUUCUAUAAACAAAGCUCUACUAGAGAUGGCUUGUAGACACCCUAGGAGAACUGCUCUGAUACCAAGUUUGUCAUGCCCCAAACUCGGGGAGGCGUGGCCGACACUCGGUGCCAUACUCGGUCCGAGCAUACCACUCUAUAACUGUAAGCUCUAGAGGGGUUUCCCUCAACUUAGGUCGACGAGGUCUUCCUGCAAGCUGACAAUACCAAUCGAGGCCGAUAGGGCCAUAUUUUGAAUUAUCUCAAAAUAACAUCUCUCUCAUUUGAGGGGUAAACAUACCCAAAAGCUCAUAUACAUAACUGUGCAGGCUGACGAGGCCGCCAUGAAUGUCUCCAACCAGCAAUACCAAACAGAACAUAUACACAGGGCUGGGAAGGCAACAAUACUGAUAUACAAAAAACACAGGACUCAUCUACAAGCCUCUAGAGAUAACAGAACUGUAUCAUGGCCGGGACAGGGCGUCGACCUACCCAUCAAACCUGUAUAUAUAAAAUGGUCUCCAAGGUCUAAACUUAGUAACUCCGAGGAAGUAGAGCUUACCAACCAUGGUACAGUUUGACUCAGUCUUCUGGGAAGUCUAUCCAGUUGUCUAUCGGGACCUGCAUGCAUGAAAUGUAGCGACCCCGGCUAAAGGGACAUUAGUACGAAAUAAUGUAUCGAGUAUGUAAGGAAAUAGAAUAACUGAAAUCUGAAAACAAAACUGAUAAUAUAAUAACUAAAAGUAACUGGCAGUCAAAGAUAAUCUGAAGAUAUGCUUACCUACUGGUACUGACUCAACUCUCUCAAUAUAGUAUGUAAAUUAGAUGUCUGGAGCUAUAAGGCUCGGUACGUCUAACUGCUCUGUUGUAGUAGGCUCGCUCAUAGGCACUCUGCCAUACUAGGAUAUUUAUCUCGGCUAUUAUGGGCUUGCUCAUAGGCGCUCAACCUCAUAGGGUCCCACCGUAGAGUUCGUAGCCUAUGAUUUCAGCAAAAGAAGCUACACCACCCGCACAACCAGCUCGAGGUGGGGCUCAGUCAGUUCAAGGCUACCCUAGAUGGGUAGGGAGAUCAGGCGGUGGUCAGGCCCGUUGCUACGCAUUUCUAGCCAGGUUAAAGGCAAUUGCCUUCGAUGCCACAGGGAUGCUUUGGUAUUAUUUGAUCCUAGUUGCACUUAUUCAUACGUGUCAUCAUACUCCGCUUGUUAUUUGGAUAUGCCACGCGAUUCUUUAGUUAUGCAUGAUCAUGUAACUACAUCGAUGGGUGAUUCUAUUAUUGUGGACCGUGUAUAUCGGUUGUAUGUGAUGACUAUUUGGGGAUUAGAGAAGAUAGUUGAUCUUUUACUACUUAGCAUGGUUGAUUUCGAUAUGAUUUUAGGCAUGGAUUGAUUAUCACCAUGUCACGCUAUUCAAGAUUGUCACGCUAAGACAGUGAAGUUGGAAAUGUCGGGUUUCAUAGGGAUAAGUGGAGAGGUUCCUUGGAUUAUGUUCCCAGUAGAGUAAUUUCAUAUUUGAAGGCUCGACAAAUGGUUGGGAAGGAAUGUCUAGCAUAUUUGGCCUUUGUGAGGGAUGCUCUGAUGCUCCUACAGUUGAGUCAGUUUCGGUAAUGAGAGACUUCCCAGAUGUGUUUCCUGUAGACAUACCGGGCAUGCCACCAAAUAGGGACAUUGAUUUUUGUAUUGACCUUGUGUCGAGCACUUAUCUCAUCUCUAUUCCUUUGUACCGUAUGGCACCAGCAGAGUUGUAAGAAUUGAAGGAACAAUUUCAGGAGCUACUUGAUAAGGGAUUCACCAGGCCUAGUGUGUUGCCUUGGGGUGCACAUCGAUCAAAUUUGUGAAGAAGAAUGAUGGUACUAUGCUGAUGUGCAUUGAUUUUAGGUAGUGGAACAAAGUUACAACUAGGAACAAGUACUCACUACAAUGCAUUUAUGACUUACUUGAUCAGCUUCAAGGUACUAGAGUGUUCUCUAAGAUUGAUUUGAGGUCUAGGUAUCACCAGUGACGAUUUGUGAUUAUGACAUUCCAAAGACGGCAUUCAAGACCCGUUAUGGUCACUACGAGUUUCUUGUGAUGUCAUUUGGGCUGACCAAGGCCCCAGCAGCCCUUAUGCACCUGAUGUACAGUGUUUUUCAGUGAUAUCUUGAUUCUUUCAUCAUAGUGUGCAUUGAUGGUAUAUUAGUGUACUCAUGCAGCCAGAAAGAUCAUGAGCAGCAUCUGAGGAUUGUACUCCAAACAUUGAGGUAGAAGAAGCGAUAUGCUAAAUUCUCAAUGUGUGAGUUUUGGUUCGAUUCGGUGGUGUUCCUAGGCUACGUGGUAUCUAGUGAGGGCAUCAAGGUAGAUCCAAAGAAGAUUGAGGUAGUUCAGAGUUUGUACGGACCGUCUUCAACUACUGAGAUUCGGAGUUUUCUUGGUUUGGCAGGUUAUUACCACAAUUUUGUAUAGGGCUUCUCAUCUAUUAUUGCUCUUUUGACUAGAAUGACCCAUAAUGGUUCCCCAUUCAGGUGGUUGGAUGAGUGUGAGGAAAGAUUUUAGAAGCUAAAGGCUGCAUUGACUACAUCUGCAAUGUUAGUAUUGCCUACGGUUUAGGAUCUUACACCGCGUAUUAUGAUGUGUCGCGUAUUUGGCUUGGCACGGUGUUGAUGCAGGACGGUAGGGUGAUUGCCUACGCGUCUCGGCAGUUGAAGGUUCAAGAGAAUAAAUACCACGUGCAUGACUUAGAGUUGGCAACUAUUGCUCACGCAUUGACGAUUUGGAGGCACUAUAUAUAUAAUGUUCAUUGUGAGGUCUAUACUGACGAUCGGAGUCUCCAGCACCUGUUCAAGCAGAAGGAUCUUAAUUUGCAGCAGUGGAGAUGACUAGACUUUUUGAAAGACUACAAUAUCACUAUAUUAUAUCAUCCGGGGAACGCCAAUGUAGUGGCCGAUGCAUUGAGUAGGAAGGCAGAAAGUAUGGGCAGUUUACAUAUUUACCAGUAGUAGAGAGGCCACUAGACAUGGUUGUUCGGGCCUUGGCCAAUCAGUUUGUGAUUUUGGAUGUUUUAGAGCCUAGUCGGGUUCUUGCAUGCAUUAUGGCAUUGUCAUUUUUGUUGGAGUGAAUCAAGGCUCGGUUUGAUGAUCCUCACUUGUUAGUGUUGAAGGAUACGGUUUAGCGGGGUGGUGCCGAGGAGGUUGUGAUUGAUGAUGAUCAUGUUAUGCGGCUUAGAGGUAGGAUUUGUGUUCCUAAUGUUGAUGGAUUGAGAGAUUUAAUCCUUCAGGAGGCUCACAUCUCCUGCUAUUCCAUUCACCCAAAUGUCAUAAAGAUGUACUGUGACUUGAAACAACACUUUUAGUGGUGGAGAAUGAAGAAUGAUAUCAUUGCUUAUGUCUCUCGAUGUUUGAAUUGUCAACAGGUGAAGUAAGAGCAUCAGAAACCAGGAGGGCUGAUUCAGAGAUUGGAGAUACCUGAGUGGAAGUUCGAGCGCAUCACUAUGGAUUUUGUAGCAGGCUUGCCACGAACCUUGAAGAAAUAUGAUGCAGUUUGGGAUAUUGUGGACCAGUUGACUAAAUCAGCAAACUUCAUUCCAGUGGUGACUUCCUACUCUGCAGAGCGGUUAGCUUAGAUUUACAUCCGGGAGAUUAUCUGCUUGCACGGCGUGUCCAUUUCCAUCAUUUCUAACUGAGGCACACAGUUCACAACGUAGUUGUAGAAAGCAGUUGAGUGAGAGUUGGGCACACGGGUUGAAUUGAGUACAGCAUUUCAUCCUCAGACGAACGGGCAGUCCGAGCACACUAUUCAAAUCAUGGAGGAUAUGUUACGUUCCUAUGUUAUGGAUUUUCGAGGUUCAUAGGAUUAGUUUCUUCCGUUAGCAGAGUUCGCCUACAACAACAACUUCCAAUCGAGUAUCCAUAUGGCUCCAGAUGAGGCCUGAUAUGCGAGGAAAUGUCGUUCUCCAGUUGGUUGGUUUGAGCCAGCAGAGGCUAAGUUCUUGGGCACUGACUUAGUCUGUGAUGCCUUAGAGAAGUUAAAGUUUAUCCAGGAGCGGCUCCGUACAGAGCAGUCCAGACAAAAGACCUAUGCUGAUAGAAAGGUUCCUGAUGUGGAAUAUAUUGUGGGUGAGAAGGUAUUGCUAGAGUUUCACCCAUGAAGGGUGUGAUGAGGCUCGGGAAGAAGGACAAGUUGAUCAAUAGGUAUAUUGGUCGUUUUGAGAUGCUUGAUAGAGUUGGAGAGGUGUCCUAUAAACAUGCAUUGCCACCUAGUGUAUCGGGUGUCCACCCAGUGUUUCACAUUUCUGCUCUUCGGAGGUAUUAUAUUGAUCCCUCACAUAUUUUCGAGUUCAGCACACUACAGUUAGAUCGAGAUUUGACUUAUGAUGUGGAGUCGGUGGCCAUUUUUGAUCGGUAGGUUUGAAAGUUGAGGUCAAAGAAUAUAGCAUCAGUGAAAGUUCACUGGAGAGUCAUCCAGAUGAGGAGGCUAAUUAGGAGGACGAGCAGGAUAUGAGGGGCAGUUAUCCACACCUAAUUGAGACUCCAGGUAUGAUUCUAGAUCCGUUCGAGGAUGAACGUUUGUUAAAGAGGGGGAGAAUGUAACGACAUGCCUAGUCGUUUUGUGUAUUGUAGCCUCAUCCCUGUUUAUUGCUUCUUCUAUAUUUAUUUGUGGUUAUGUGACUUACCAUAGUGAUUGGUUUGGUCCCGGAUAUGUUUCGGAGUGAAUUUGGACACUUUGUCCCACGGUCAAAAGUUUAAGUUGAAGAGUUGACUGGAGUUUGAAUUUUGUGAAAACGACUCCGUAAUAGAGUUUUCAUGGUUUCGUUAGCUUUGUAUGGUGAUUUUGGAUUUCGACAUAUAAUGCUGUUUUGGAGGCCCGUAGGUUGAUUUGAUAAUUUUUGGCGAAAUUUGAAAAGUUAAAGGUUUGGAAGGUUGAGAUGUUUGACCGAGAUUUGAGUUUGUCGAUAUCGGGUUCGGAUUUUAUUUUCUCGAGUUGGAGUAGGUCCGUUUUAUUAUUUAUGACUUGUGUUAAAAAUUUGAGGUCAUUAAGAAUUGAUUUGAUAUGAUUCGUCAUUUGUUUUAUAAGUUGGAAGUUCAUUAGGCUUGAAUCGAUGUGUGAUUUCUGGUUUUGGUGUUGUGUGAUGUGAUUUGAGGCUCUGAGUGAGUUUGUAUUGUGUAUUAGGACUUGUUGCGAUGUUUGGUCGGGGUCGGGGGCUUCCCGGGUGUUUCAGAUGGUAAGCAUAUCAUGUCGGACUUGGGGAUGAUGGCUGGAGGCUGGUGACGUUGGGUCUAAUCGCACAUGCGGUGGGCUUGGCCGCAGAUACGGAGCCGCAGGUGUGGCUGAAGGUUCGCAUAAGCGAAGAUAGGUGCUCAGGGAAAAGUCCACAGAUGCGGACAAUGGACCGCCGGUGCGGAAGGUGAGCUAGGCAGAGGAGUCCACAGAGGCGGACGUAUGUUCUUAGAAGUGCAUACACAUGUGCGAGGGAAGGUCUGCAGAAGUGGUAUAUGUCUAGAUGGGCAUGAGUUGUAGAUGCGGAAGAAUUUCUGCAAGUAUGGACCCGCAGAAGCGGGUGUUGGACCGUAGAGCGGUAGGUCGGGGUCUUAAGUGAAAUGCGCAGAAUUGGAUCUAUUUGUGAUUGGAAUUGGAUAAUUUUGGUAUGGCUUGACUCAAAAUUGAAUAUGUAUCCAGAAUUGGUGAGUUUUGUCGGGUUCUGAGGUGCGGGCCUGGGGUUGACCUUUUGAGUUGUCUCUUUGACUUGAGUUAAAGAUCUUAGCUUUAUCUUUUUGAAUCACUUCCUAUGACUUUUAUUGAUGGUGUUAAGUUAUUUUUGCUAGACUCGAUCCGUUCAGAGUUUGAUACGCGCGGGAAGGGCUUGUUAGCGGAGUAAUUUGGCUUGCUUGAGGUAAGUAUCUUAUCUAAACUUGGUUGAGGCACAAGUAACCUGAAUUAUUUGUGAUUGCUACGUGCUAUGAGUGACUCAUAUGUGUGGGGUUGAGCCCAUAUACAUGCACCGAGGUACUAUUUUCAUGCUCGGGGUAGUGCUUACUCUAUGAUAUGCCUUGAAUUGAUUGCUAAGCUUCAAGCCGAGAUGUUUCUCCUAUUUGUACCCCUAUGUAAACUAUUUGUACCACAUUUGAGAUAUCAUUGAGGUUAUUCUUCCGAUUGAACAUGAUAAACUACUAUUUUAUGAUUAAAUUAUCUUUUUAAACUAUGAGUACGAAACUUGAUAACCAUUGAUAAUCUACAUGUAUUCUCGUAUAUUUUCCUUCUCUACGUAUUUACUAGUUUUUGGGGGAUUUAUCUUGUAUUAGCGGUAUUUUGUUAUAUUGAGAUUUCAUACUUAUGUUAAUCCUGCAAAUUCCAUUAUUUGGGUCUUUUAUUGUUAGUCCGGCUUGCAUAGAAAAGGUGUUAGGCGCCAUCACGACGGGUUGGGAUUUUGGGUUGUGACAGAUGUACAUUGUGUAACAUACUCCGGACUUAGAAAGAAUUCCACAAGGUGACAACUAAUUAUAUAUAAAUUAAUCAUAAUAAAUCUCAUUCAUAGAAAAAGGGGAUAAUUAUCAUGGAUUUAUACGAAGCAUGUAUUUAUUUAAAGUAGAGUGGCUAAAAUAAGUACUUUCAAGAUUGAGUGACUUGAAAGUUCAACUAAACAUGGUAGCACAUAUGUAAGAAAAUGCACAAUUAUCUUAUUAGGAAAAAUAAUGUCAUGCUUAUGCAGUGAAGAACUAAUUCAAUUAAUUAGGUUCGUAUCGAUCCUAGUCAAUCAAUCAAGCAGCAAAAGCACAUCUAAUAAGUUAAUCAUAGUUCAAGCUACACAUUUAUUUCACAUACAUGUGGAAUGUUUAUUAUUUAACUAGAUGUAUUUUAUCCUAAGUGUUGUCACAUAUGAGAAAAUAUAAAGCAAGCAUAAAAUAAAUAAUUAAAUAUGAUAUCUAUCUACGAUCUUAUUAUACUUGUAUUUUUGGGUACAUCCGGAAAUGGUAAGUACGAAGCGGGGAUUUGAUGAGGGUUUUGUCUUUAAUUUUUCUCCAAACAUCAUCUCUCAAAAGCGACUCCAUGUGAUAAUACAUUGUAAGACAAUAGAACAACCGUUAAUGAAAUAAUAGAAUAAAUUAACAAAAUGACAUGUUUUGGAAAGUGAUUUCUUGGAAAUGUUUUUGGAAAAUGGUUUUUUUAAAAUAGUUUGAAAAUAUUUUUGGGGAAAGGUUUUGGAAAAUAAUUUAAAAAAUAUAAAAGGAGGCUCAUAUAUGCAUUUUUGAUUUCCUACUAGACAUGACAACGAGAACCGCUUUGGUGGAAACCACAGUGGCCAACCGUGUCCCCGUCCAAAGGUUAUCAGCUAUUCGCGUCCUCGUCUUUUUUUUCCUGAUUUUUAUCAUCAUAGCCUCUUUAUUUUGGGACCCGUCUGGAGGGACAUUCGGGGUGUCAUGGCCUCAAUAAUUAUUUUUCACUAGCGUUGGUGUAGUAGAACCUUUCAAUACCAGUAGAAUCAAACCAAGACAAACAUUGGUUCAAGAAUACAUUAUCAACAAUAUUCAAAGUAUUCAUUGUAAUCCUCAAGAGGCGGACUUUUUCCAUAGGAUGAUUAUAAUUAUAUCGUUAAAAUGCCACUUACCACUAAAGAGAUCAAAUCGUAACAAAAUCGAAGAUACAAGCAAUCUGUAACGACCCAACCGGUUGUUUUGUGUAUUAUAGCCUAUUCACCUAUUUAUUGCUUCUUCUGUGUUCAUGCUUUUUUAUGUGACUUGCCGUGGUAGUUGGUUUGGUUCCGAGGAUGUUACGGGCUGAAUUGGGACACGUAGUUCUAAGGUUGGAAGUUUAUGUUUAAAGAGUUGACUAGAGUUUGACUUUUAUGUAAUAGGCUCCGAAAUAAAGUUUUGAUGGUUCCAAUAGCUUCGUAUGGUGAUUUUGGAAUUAGGCAUAUCUCUAGAUAUUGAUUUGGAGGCCCGUAGGUCAUUUUGGCUUGAAUUGGCGAAUGAUGGAAAGUUGAAGGUUUGGAAUGUUGAGAAGUUUGAUCCGGAGUUGACUUUAUUGGUAUCAGGUUCAGAUUUUGGUUUCGUAAGUUGGAAUAGGUCCAUUAUGUCAUUUAAGACUUGUAUGCUAAAUUUGAGGCCAUUCGGAGUUGUUGUGGUAUGAUUCAACGUUAGUUUUAGAAGUUGGAAGUUCAUUAGUUGUUGUUAGGCUUGAAUUGAGGUGCGAUUCGUGAUUAUGGUGUUAUUUAAUGUGAAUUGAGUGCUCGAGUAAGUUCGUAUCGUGUAUUAGGACUUGUUGGUAAGUUUGGAUCCCAGGGGCCUCGGGUGCGAUUUGGAUGAUGUACGGACCAUGUUUGGACUUACUAGUAAUAUUGAAGAAUUUCAUGGUCUAGUGCAAUCGCACCUUCAAGGAUUUGGUUGUAGGUGCGAUACCACAAAAGCGGUCAGGCCAUCAUAGGUGCGGAAUAUGCUGGGGCUAGGAAUUGCACAUAUGUGAAUGUUGGUCUACAUCUGCAAAGCUCGCAGAUGCGGGAUGUGGAGGGCAUAAGUGAAAUGGAGUAUGGUCAUGGGUUUCUGCAGAAGCAAAGUGGAGUGUGGACAUUGAGGCGCAAGUGCGCGUGUGCAGAAGCGGAGGUUGGCUGAAGGGUCUGGGACCGCAUCGUGAUGGAUCCUAAAAGUGCAGAUGAUUUUUCUUGAUAGAUCUACCAUGGUAUUGUUGUUUUGACAUGUAUACUUGACAUGUAGUCAUAGAGAUGUACUUUCCUCAUGCCAGCUGAUAAAUAAAAUGUUUUAUACAUCAUGGACCUUAACUGUUAUACUUGAAAUCAUGUCCAAAUUCCUGUAUUUUGAAUAAACUGAACAUAACAUCAUUGAGCUAAUUACUUUUAUUGUUCCAUUUAUAUCUUGAGUUGUUAUCGGUUCAUUAAUGUUGAUAUCUUAUUGUUUCUUUCGAGUUCAUCACCUCUUUCAAAUCAAUGUUAGUGCUGUUACUUAUUGAGUACAUGGGUCGGUUAAACUCAUACUACUCUCUACACUUUAUGUGCAGAUCCAGGUGCUUUCGGAGGAGGUGAUCUCUUGAGUUUUGUUGCUACUAGCUUGGGAGACUACGAGGUAGCUGCCAUACCAUCCGUACACCUUGAAGUUCUCUUUUAUUAUCUAUUAUUUCUUUUCUACUAUUCAGAUAGUUAUAUACAGAAUAUGGUCAUGUAUUGUGAGACUUGGUAGUGCUCAUGUACUUGUUGACACCAGAUUUUGGGAAUGGUUAUAGAUGCAUAACAGUUACGUUCUCAGUUCUUUCAUGAUGUUUACAUUGUUCAGUUUAUUAAACCUUGUUUUAAUCAUACUCCUUGUUCUCAUGUGACUAUUGGCUUGCCUAGCAUGUAGUGAUAGGUUCCGUCGCAGCUCCAGUAGGAGUUGGUUCGUGAUAAGUUGGUAUCAGAGCGCUAGGUUGCUUAGGUCUCAUGAGUCAUGAGCAAGUUUGGUAAAGUCUUACAGAUCGAUACAGAGACGUCUGUACUUAUCUUCGAGAGGCUACCAAACUGUUAGGAAACUUCCCUUUCUUGCGGAUUUGUUAAUUCUGGAAUUCAAAAUUCUAUUAUUAUAUUCUCUCACUGAUGGUGAGGACACGCUCAACUGAUCCGGCACAGUACCGCAAGUUAGGGUGGCGCGAGGCUGCGGUAGAGGCCGAGGUGCGGCUCAUACAACAACUAGGGCAACACCUAUGGAGCCACCAAUUUCUCCAGCUGAGGAGCAGGUACCAGACGUGGUUAAGGCGGUGGGACCAGCUCAAGCACCAGUACUGCCCAUUGUUAUCCCAGGCCUUCAGUAGUCCUUAGCUCAUAUUUUGAUUGUAUGCAUGAGCCUGGCUCAGGCGAUUUCGGUUCUAGCUGCACUAGCCAUCUCACAGGCUGGGGGAGGUACCCAGUCUCUUUCCGCCCGUACUCUAGAGCAUGUAGCUCAGGGACUUCAGACAUUGGGGAUACCAUCCAUUCAAUCGAUUGUUCCCACUCGGGCCGAGGUUGGUUCACCUAUGAGUGAUGAGGAGUAGAAGAUUUUGUAAAGUUUAGGGAGGCUUAAGGCUUCAGAGUUCGGCUGAGAGGAGUUAGAGGAUACUCAAGAUAUUCUAGACAAGUAUUAGCGGAUUCUUUGCACAACGGGUAUUUUGGAGACCAGUAUAGUUGCAUUUGCCACUUUUUAGUUGAAAAGGGAAGCCUGCAGAUGGUAGCAGGCCUAUGAGUUGAGCAGGCUAGUUGGUACAUCACCACAUACAUGGCAUGAGUUCUCAGUUUGUUUCUUUGAGAUAUUUGUUCCAUAGAUUUGUAGAGAGGAGCUGCGUAGAGAUUUUGAGCAGCUACGCUAGGGAGAUAUGAUUGUUACUCAGUAUGAUAUGAGAUUCGCAGAUCUGCCCUGUCAUGAUAUAUUGUUGGUUCCCACGAAUAGAGAGAGGAUAUGUGGUUCAUUGAUGGCAUCAACUAUGGCUUAUGUUAAAGCCUGGCUCGAGAGGCAGAGAUGGAUGAUAGGCUUUGACCAGGUGGUCGAGAUUGCUAAGAGCUUGGAGUUGGUUUGCUAGCUUGAGCGCAAGGAGCAGGAGGACAAGAGGCCCCGUGGAUUUGGUGGUUUUAGUGGCACCUCAUCUAGAGGUCAAUCACAUCACUACAGAGGUCAUCCUUAUACGUCAGCUCAGAUGGCUCGUCAGGUUUCUCGUGGUGCAUCCGCUAGUCACGGUUCGUACAACACCCAUCAAGUUCAGCCAUCUUUUAGUGCACUACCAGCUCAGAUCUCAUAUCGUGCUCCAUCAGUCCAGGGUUAAUCGGUAUCGGGUCCUUUCAUUGGGUAUUCUAUUUCUCGAGGGUCCGAUGCACGCCCCACAGUUAUUUUGAGCUCGAGGUUUCUACGAUUGUGGAGAGUUUAGGCAUGCGAGAAAGUAUUGCCCAGUCAUUACAGAGGUCCAGUUCAACACGGGGGCCAGGCUAUGACUUCUGCACCAGUUGCUAUACCAUCCACUUAGCCAGCUCGGGGUGGAGUUCAUGUGGGUUGAGGUUGCCCCAGANNNNNNNNNNNNNNNNNNNNNNNNNGAAAAAGAGCCACCACCUAAUAUUUAAAGGUAUACUAGGGUACCUAUCUAAUUACUAAAGUCAUAUUCUUUAUUAAUUUGCUUACCAGUGAGAUUAUAGGUAAGGUUUCUUGAUAUUCUAAGGGGAAGGUGUUAGGCACCCCUUAAAAAUUACUUGAGGUAGCUCAAUAUGACUUAGACUAGAUUUAGGAUUAAUUAUUUUUACUAUGCUUAACUAGUUCUUAAAAGGUCAUGGCUUGCUAUGCAUUAGGACAUAAUACUUACGAAAGUAUUGUGUAGCUUAAAGGGGAUGGAUAAGAGCUUAAAACGUAUAUAUAAUGUUCGUAUUUAGGAAAAUAUGUGAAAAGAAAAGCUAAGUUAAAACACUUUGUUCCUAAUACAUGGAAGUUCAUAUUACUCUAAUGAGAUGAAGAUGUUAUGAAAGUAAGCCUAAUAUAUACCUUGGCUUUUGAAUAUUUGAAGGAACCAUUUGAAAAUCAUUAUUUGGGGCGGAGCACCUUAUUUUUCAAAAUGAGUUGAUUUCCUAUUUGAAGCUCAAACUUGCGAUUCAGUUCUGGUUUUUAUUUUUUAAAGAGGAGCUGUCGUCUCUUGCUAAUCUUUUGGGCUUCAAAAUCAUUAUGAAAAGUUAGCAAAACAUAGCAGCUUAAUAAUAUAAAAAACUUAUGAUUAGCGAAUGUAAGAUUAGUUACUAACUAAUACUUCUUUUAAUCCUAGGUUAUUUAGGGAUUGCGUAAGUUGUUAUAUGACUUAACAUAUAAAGUAAAGCAUUCAAUCCAAUAUAUAAUUAUUUUAUACAUGUGAGAUAAAACAACAACAACAAGAACACAGCGAAAUGCAACAAUGCAGUAAGGCUAAGGCAAUAAGGUAGUAAAUAAUAAAGGACUCAAAAGGAAAGGAUUGGACUCUGGUGUUUGGGCAUCCAAUAGGCAGGCCCAACAAUACAGGGACGUGCAACAGUUAACUCUGGACCUUCCGAGAUAUAGCAAUGCUGCAUUUGGGAUUGAGUUCCUUAAGAACUCAGCAGGCCCAAGCAAAUGUACAUGUUCAAAAUGAAAAGAGAAGGUCAUUAUAAAGAUAAUACUAUAUACAUGUUCAUACAUGAAACUUACAAGAACAAAUAAAGAAGGUGACUAACAGUACUUAAACACUAGGAGGGUCAUACUAACGUGGCAGUUAUGUACUAGUAAGUGAUCCACAUUGGAUAACACAUUUUAAGGUUAGAUAAAGAGCACACACUUCAAAUAAGCAACAACUUAGAAAUACAGAUUCCUUUGCCUUAGCAGACUAAUCACAGAUUGGUUUAAUUCAGGUCUGGUCACUAGCACUUACAUAGGUCUACAAUACUACUUGGAACUUUUGAAAGAAUCAACAAAAGAUUCAGACAAACAUUCAUAGUUAGAAACCUCUACAGGUGUUGCCAGAAUAUAAUUAGAACUUUUAACAUGACUAUAGGUUUGCAGAUUCAAAUGGAACAUCUAAGAAUGCUUAACAUGGUCACAGCCUAUUAGUCUUACUUAACGUUGAAAUUGAUGACUGAACCACCCCUUUACAAGAGUAUUAAUCUCAUUAUGAAAUAGGCAAACUAUUAUAUCUAAGUAGUAGUAAUAAGAAGUUUCCCUUAGGGUUCAUAUAUUAGAUUCAGUUCAGAUAAACAAGGUAAGAGAACUGAGUGCAGUUCCAAAAUGGUGUACAAAAGUGUGAAAUCAUGAAAGAUAAACAAAGGUACAUGCAACACAUUCAUUUAUCUACACAUAGAUAUUUCAACUAAGGUCUUACAAAAACACAAGGAGUUUCACUCAUUAUAAGACCAAGUCAACAAUGUCAUAAAGGUUGUUAAUGUCAAGGAAGAUAUUAUACCAAACAAGUUUAACUCAACUGUAGAGACUAAGAUUAACAUCUAAACAUGAUAUAGUUAUACCCCGCUUGUAAAACAGUUAUCAUUCAACUAUAGUAAAAAUGACUAUAGCCUAUUUUAUUAACGACAACUUGAUCAUAACAGAAUACGUGCAAAAUGGUUACUGAUGUUCAUAAAAGUUCACCUUAAUGAGACUGUUUCAUAUAAAGAGACCUAGAGAUGUAACUAACAGUUAGACACAGGCAUAAGACUCUCAUAGUAAUGACUCGGAAGCUGCUGUUAGACUUAGCAAACACUUAUAUAAAGAAGGAGAGCAUUUAAACACUUAAACUUCAAAUGCUUCAGCUAAGUGAUGAAGGAUUAAUCUAUAAGCUUUCAUGUUUUUUCUAGUUAGAAUUAUCGAACAACAACCUCAAUAAGAGAACACCAAAUUGCAGAAAAUGGUGUGUUAGGGAUAAAGAUCAUAGUAAAAUCAUUAAAAAUAAAUCUGAAGUCUAGGCAAAUGUGAGAAGUCAUUGCUGCAUAUUAAGAAAACUUAAUCAUGUAAAAUAUUUGAUUCAUAAUGGAAAUCAUUAAGGUCACAUAAAUACUCAAUCAAUGCUGAUUAGAGAUACAUAAACACAUAAUAACUAGCAACAGAUCAACAACAGGUCAUCAUGAACCAGGAUAAAUAGUUAUAGACUAACAACAAGCAUCAAAAACGAAACAAUUAACAGAAAGACAGUAGUAUGUUCAUGAUAUUCGAAUGAAAUAGUCAAAAGAGAGAGUGUGGAGGUACACUGACCUUUUCUAGGGCAGCAGAUCUAACAUGAUUUUAACUUAGCCAUAUAAAAACCAAAGUUUCAAGCCCUAGAGCAGUGAAGGAACUCGGAACAAAAGGAAAUAGAGAUUAAUCAGAAAAGACACAUAGGCUUCUAAAUCUUAAUUCAUAUGAGAUUUUUUGACUCUUGUUAGGUUUGGUCGGUCUGGUUGGUGAUGUUAGGUGAGAGCAAUCAAGGCUCUAUUUAUAGUACUAUUUAAUGGCUUAGGGUUUCUGAUUCAAGCUUAGGUAGUGCAAAAUGACGGAGGAGUGGUGAUGCAAGCAAGAUUGGGGAAAAUAUAAGGAGAUACAGGGAAAAUGAUGAAAAAGUUUUUACUUGAGUGAAGAUCUACCGUUUGAAGGAAAAUAAUCAUCGGGCAAGACCUCAAUGUCUAGAGGUCAAUGCGUUUGACCUCUAGACAAAGAAGGACGGUGGUGAUGACGAAGAAAUGCUAUGCAUGCCAUGGAUUUAACUGCACAUUGAGAGAAAUUCGAAGACUUGACAUUGCAUUGUUGUAUCUAGCGUUCAGAUUUUGGGCAUUUGAAUUUUUUAUGAUGAAACGGGAGAGAAUCCGCGAGAAUCGCGGAUAGGGGAGGCAACGAGGAUGAUUCUAUAUUUGAUUUGUGACCUUGCACAAAUUUGUGCUAGGUCUGUGACUGAUUUGAUCAUGGCGAGAUGAUAGAAGAGAGGACGAAAGGGGAAAUGGGGGGCGAUCGUUUGUGGCAAAUAAAUUAAGGUUAUGGAGUGAGAGACGAGAUUUGGAUAGUUGGAUCUGAUGAUCAACAACCCUGAUAAUUUGAUCACAUAAAGAUUUUAUAAGAUUUUAAAGUGAAAAUAUAAGAGCCGUUAGAUCUUCUAUUUUCAACGGCUAAGAUUAAAUCGGAUAGGAUGUAUAAAAUUAAAGAAAAAAUGGAGAUAAAAUGAGGGUCGUUGAUCUAUAGGAUGGACAACCUAGAAUGAUUGUAUUUCUAUUGUUAGUUAUAGAGGCGGGUGAAGUGGCGUGCUCUGAUCGGUUCCCAUGGGUUGGGCGGAUUGCCAAAGAGAAAGAGGGGGGUGGACUUGGACUGGGUCAUAUGGGAUUGGGCCUGGGUAUUGGGCUGGUUUUGAUUUAAAGAAUGGCCAAUUUGUGUUUGAUUGUUCAAUUGCAAAUGUAGCCAUUUUAGUCUUUAUCUCUUUUUAAGUUAAUUUAAAUAAACUUAAUUAAUUUCCAAUAAAAUAUAGUAAUCUAAUUAAUUUUGAAUUAUUAACAUAGUAAUCUAAUUAAUCCAAAAUGUAAGGGGUAAUUAAUUAUAAAACCUCUAUGGCAUAUUAAAAAUUAUUUUAAUAAUAUUAAAAUAUUAAGUAUAUUUGUAAUUACAUAAUACUAAUGUUGGGUGAUUAAUUUAAAAACUAAUACUAUUUUUUAAAAAUGGGUAUUUAUUGAUAGAAAAUACUUUCAAAAAAUUCAUUGUAAAUUAUUAAGCACAAGUAAAUUAAUUUUAAAAGGGAGGGUUAAAUUUAGCCGUCAACAGCUGCCCUUUUUUUACCGGAGAAGAUGAAAGAAUUUUCGGGCAAAGAAAUUGAACCAAAGCCAAUUUCGUCCCGACUUUAGGCAUGCAUUGUCGGAAUAGCACGAUGAUCAUGAACUGCAGGAUUGGGAUCUAAGGAAGAUUCUGGGAGGAUUUUUUACAGAGUUGGGGCUGAAUUCUGGCCUUGAAUUGCUUACAUACCUCGAGCUUAACGAGGAUCAGGCCUCGUGUAGUUCUGGAGUGAGGACUUUGAGGAAGCGAUGUUUGCAAGAAUUGCCCCAAUAUCGUAUUAUGAUGAUACUGCAUGACGGAGGAUUUGGUACUCAUUAUUGCUUGAAUUUACGGCUUGACUUGAAGGAUUUGAAAAAUUAGAGUUCUACUGAUCGUUUUGAGUUUGAGCUUGGAUCCUUGGCCCGCUAACGAGUUUGUUGUCCCUCAUAGCAUUGUAGUUUGGUCUUCUUCUUAGAAAGAGUUCCACGUUGCGAUAUUUGUUCCUGCAAAAUGAAAUAAACACAUACCCAUAUAUUGCAAUGCAGAAUAUGUUAAGAUGUGAUGUAAAUGAUGCAGGAAGGAUAAUGCAUGGCUGCCAGCGAAACGUUAUUUGGGAUCAGGAUGAUGGGAUACUUGAACUUGACUCAAUUUGUUAGUUGGGUUGUAUACCAUUCCGCAGCUGUCGGAGCAUUGAAAAAGUAUCUGUUCUUGUUGGGAAAGCUGGACUUGUAGAGUGCGUCUUUGCUUGUUGGAAGAGCUUUGCAUUGAAAAGUGUCUCCGCUUGUUGGGAGAGCUUGAUUUGUAGAGUGCGUCUUCACUUGUUGGGAGAGCUUUGCACUAAAAUGUAAAGUAAUCUCUGCAUGGGAAUAAUUGACUAAAAACAUAAUCAUGUCUGAAGCUACAUGAGCAAAAUGUCAAAAUAUUCAAGAUAACAGCAAAGGAAAAGAAAAGCAUUCCUAAGAGAUACUCUUGACUGCAAAGCUAAGUUACGGCCAUCGAUUGGUAGAAUGUCGGUUGUGAGGUUUCCGAUUCUCUACUAGCCUCCAUUGUGAUAGAGCGGUGGCGCAGAUUGUACCAUUGACGGAGUGAUCACUUUACUAUAUACAAAGCUUCGUUUGCAAAAUCAACGUCUAAUAUUUUACAUGGCGCUCCGGUCGAUUGAGAAUAUGAUUUGCUAUAUACUGGACUCCAAUUGGUGAAGUCCAUAGAUCAUUUUGUACAAAGUGCUCUGAUUGGUUGAGCAGGCAGUUUGCUAUAUAUAAGGCUUCAAUUAGCGAAGCUGGCGGCUUAUUUUGUACAAGGUGCUCUGAUUGUUUGAGCAGACGGUUUGCUAUGUACAUUAUGCCUUUUCUGCAUCAGCGGUCUGACUCCAAGUUACCUGCAAAGAAUUGUAGAAUUCGUUUAAGUUGUACCAGAAAACAUCUUAAUAAAAGAGAAAGGGGAUAAUCCUGGGAAAUUGUCGAAUUCGUGAUUUUCCCCUGUGUAGUACCAACAUUUCCUUGCGUCCUGUUGACCCUGCACUCAAAGAAAAUUCUUAGUGGGAGUAAGGAGGGGGGUGGUUUGUGGCAGCCAUGUAACGUUUUUUCUCAGCCCUUGAUAUGGCUACGCCCCGAAGUUCGGUAGGUGGAACAAAUUACUGUAUAUUAGAAAACAUUUUUUGAAAAUUUUUGUUUUAAAGUAAGUGUCGUCAUCCCAGAUUAUGACGUGCUAUGAAAGGUUCUCCAAACAUGAGUGUCGCAUCAUGGAAACUCUAUCUUGUCAUUGCGACUACAUCCUAAUUCGAACUAAUGAAUUACAAAGGUUUUCAUAAGGUUUUGACCGAACCCUUUCAGGUUGCCUACAUAUCCAAAAUAGAAUCAAGGCUGAACGUAGUUCAUGGAUGAUAAAAAUAUUAUAAAUAUGAUCGAGCCUGACUUAGGUAGCCUACGUAUCCAAAUGGAAUCAGGUCAAGAUGUAGUUCAAUUACAACAGAUGAAAAAUGGGGACAUUAAGAAUGAAAUGGCCAAGUCUGACUCAGACUGCCUAGCUAUCCAAAUGGAAUUAGGCCAGAAUGUAGUUCAAUUACAAAAGACGACUGAAUCCAAUGAGGAUUGCCUACCUAUUCCUUCUUGAGGAAAUCAAGUCAGCAUAGUUCUAGAGCAACAUACAAAGUGAUAUUUGGAUUUUCUAUAUCAAAAUAAAGGAGGAAGAGAAACCGAACCCUAUGUAGGUUGACUACGUAUCCCUCUAUGGGACGUCAGGUUGAAGUAGUUCUGUUAUAGCAAAACCUAACUCUAUUUUCUUUCAAACUUAGUAUCUCUUGGUUGUGUCUGAGUUGAUGGGCUUCGUGUUGACUUUUGCAUCCAUUUCUUCCAAGAUUAGAGCUCCUCCCGACAACACUCGGUGAACCACGUAAGGACCUAGCCAAUUUGGUGCGAAUUUCCCUUUGGCUUCUUCCUGGUGUGGAAAGAUUUUCUUCAAGACUAAUUGCCCCACUGUGAACUGGCGAGGCUUCACCAUUUUGUUGAAUGUACUGGCCAUCCUAUUCUAAUAUAGUUGACCAUGGUUGACUGCAUCCAUUCUCUUCUCAUCGAUGAGCAUGGGUUGCUCCUGUCAGACCUGUAUUCACUCUGCAUCGUCCAACAUAGCCUCUUGGAUGACUCUUAAAUAUGGUAUCUCAACCUCCGCGGGUAUCACAGCUUCGGUGCCAUAUACUAACAUGUACGACGUUGCCCAAGUGGACGUUCUCAUGGUGGUUCGAUAACCAUGUAAGGUGAAUGAUAGUUUCUCAUGCCAUUAUCUGUGAUUGUCCACUAUCUUCCGCAGAAUUAUCUUGAUAUUCUUCUUGGCUGCCUCGACUGCCCCAUUAUUUGCCAUUUGUAGGCUGUGGAUUUAUGGUGAACGAUUCUAAACCUCUUGCAAAUUUCCCUUAUGAGGUCUCUAAUGAGGUAACGGGCAUUGUCAGUGAUGAUUGACUCAGGUAUCCCAAAUCAUCACACGAUGUUGUUUCGAACGAAAUACGCCGCAACCUUCUUUGUGAAGGACUUGUAGGUAGAUGCUUCGACCUAUUUGGUGAAGUAGUCAAUGGCUACCAAGAUGAAGUGGUUCUCAUUUGACGCACCGGUCUCUAAAGGUCCAAUCACGUCUAUGUCCCGGGCAGUGAACAGCCAAGGCGUGCCCAUCACAUUGAACUCGUUUGGUGGAACCCGGAUGAAAUACCCGUGAAUUUGGCAUUGGUGACACUUUUGUACGUAUUGGAUACUAUCACUUUCCAUAGCCAUCCAAAAGUAUCCAGAUUUGAAGAUCUUCUUGGAUAUUGUGAACCCGCUCAUGUGGGGUCCGCACGUUCCUGCAUGUAUUUCUUCUAAUAAUCUGGUCACCUCAGCGGCAUCUACACAUCUCAACAAACCAAAUUCUGGGGGUCCUCCUGUACAGGAAUUCCCUGUUAAGGAAAAUGUGUUUCGUCAGCCUCCUGAGUGCUCACUUCUGACUAUUAGUAGCAUUCUUCGGGUACUCUUUGGUUUCAAGGUCUUGAUGUUCAGAAUCCCCUAUGACCAAAUGUUCUUUAAUGUUUUCAGAUCCGAAGCAAGUUUUGUUUUCAUUGAUAAUAUUUGGAUUGAGAUAGGUGGGAACAGAGGUUACAUGAUUGUUUCUGACAUUCAAAGAACUACAUAGGCUUGAACAACUUACCUUUAGGGAAAAAUAAGAAAAUUAGGGAUAAAGAUACAAGGUGGGAAAAGAAGGGGAAAUCAACCAACUUCUAGUAACCAUCUCCGGAAUCAUUCCCAUCUCCUCUUCUUAUUCUGGUUCUUCCUCCGGAUCUUCUUCAAACUCCUCUUCAUCAUUGUUGAACUCAAAUUCUUCUCCUAGUUCUUCCUUCGACUCUGUCCCAGAUUCUUUCUAGAUGCACUCCAAUACUCGGUCAUCAUCUUCAGCAUGUGGCAGCAUGUGAUCAAUGGAUACUUGGACCACUUGAUGGUGCAUUAAGGUAGUCACAAGGUAAUGUCUCAUAAUCUCAUGGUAAAUUUGCAAAGCAUCCUUGCAUCCUCUAGCUAGGCUAUAUGCUCUUUGCUUGGUUUGGUUAGCUCGUCUUUCUCGUUGAUACCAUGAGUUUUGACCCAUCGGCAUUGUGACCAGAUCAUUCCACUCUUCUUGGAGCCUUCUUAUCCUCGGUAUUGGAAUUUGUCUAUUGUACUCAUCCUCAUAUAGCGUUUUCCUCGUCCAUAGAGACACAUCCCGGAUGAUCCCGAACUGUCUGAUAACCUGCAGGGGUGAGUAUGGUUGGAUGCCUUCAAGUCCUAUUAGCUCAAUGACGUAUUUCUGAGGAGUCUUAAGAUUGCCCUCCCGCCUAACCAUGACAGCUUCCAAUUGACCCAUUCUCCGCUAGAUUUGUCAGCAUUUCUCUCCACUCUUCACGUCCAUGUGGGGAGACCCAAUGUCUCAUUCUCUCAUUGUGGCUGCGAAAUAUGUUGCUGACGCCCACAAAGUAGUCAAUGGUGACCUCUCGCUGGAAGAAAUGUUCUAUGGCCAAGAUGUGAAGCAACAUGUUAUAGAUCUUAAAGAAAUCAUACCCUCUUGCACAUGCAGACAGAGCCCUUAGGAUCUUAGCUAACAUCAUCAGUACCAGAGUAGCUUGGAGGUUGCCACGGAAUGUUGCCAGAUCACGGGUAACAAUUAGAUGUUGACCCAACCUCUUCUGUAUGGGAAAAUAAACAAUCCCAACAGUACUUAUGAGAAAGUGAUGGGCCUGAGACUCUCCCACGUUGCUUGAUCACACUGCAAUUCUCUCGAAUAGCACUCAUAACUUUCACGAUGUCCUAAUUUCAUCUAUGUUCUCUCGGCGAAUAUUCUUCCACCACUGCUUCAGCUUGUGUGGUGCUCCCAUCACCAUAUUGAUCUCGGGGAUGUUUUGCUUGAUUUCCAUUUCUGGGAUGGGUAAAGAAAGGUUUUGGUAAGUGUUUUCUUCGGAUCUUUUGGUGUCUCAUCAGGUUUGUUCGUGUUUCCACAGAAGUCAUGUCAUUGGAUGCAUGACCCGUUGACAUUAGUGUGGCUUUCCUAAUUGUCUGUCGAUUCCAGGAGUAAGUCACCUAAGAUUUAUGCAUUAUGACCUAUGUUUACUAGAGUAGAGUGUUUCCUACUUUUGAAUUAAAUUGAAGACUACGAGAAAUUAUGUCAGUUGACCUGACAAAGCCAUUCUCUAAAACUAAAGAGUUUUGAAAAGAAGGUUCGGAAGAGUGUAAAAUACAACCCUCGCGUGCCAUCGUGCGUGAUAGUGUAUGAUCAAGAGUCGAUAAGAAGAUAUGUGAUGACAUUAAAUAUAAAGUGAUAAUGGAUAAGGGUGUAACAAUAACAUGCAUGAUAAUAAGCAAGCAUAAGGAACCAGUAAGGAAUUUAAACACGUAAUUGCAAAUUAAAUAUAGUUAAAGAAAUGUACAAACAAAUCAUAGUGCCAAAUUCAGACUAAGUCUGCUAAGGUCAGAACCUAAGUAUGAAUGCUAGCUAAGCCACCAUGUUAUUGUGACCUAUUCUGCACAAUUCAAAACAAGAUUCAACUUGUGGUUUCUCUGUUGUUGAUGAAAGAGAGUCGCCACCUAAUAUUUAAAGGUAUACUAGGGUACCUAUUGUAAGGCCCCGUAAAACUUCACCUAAAACCCAUGGUUUUGUGGCGCCGAGGUAGAGUAAUGUGAUUGAGGGGUAUGAACUUUUUGGAUUGUACAGUACGUCGGUGAGUUGAAGGGAUUAUUUUGCUGACCAUGGUAUUUUUGCGGUCCACUAUGCGACCGCAGAGCCAACUUGUGAGCCGCAGAUUAGCCGCAGAGUGAAGCAUAACUUGAGUUAAUUUUGAGGACCAUUAUGCGACCGCAUAACCAUUUCGUGGGUCGCACAAUCCAUCGUAGAUCCAGCAUGAGAAAACUUCAUAAGGAGGUUCUGCGGUCCAUUAUGCGACCGCAAAACUGAUAUGCGACCGCAAAUCCAUCCUAGACUUGUCCAGCCCUGCCCAGUUUUUGGGACCCUUUAUGCGGUCCCCUUUGCGGGCCGCAUGCCUAUUUUGCAAUCGGGUCUGCGACCGGAGACCCGACUUCGUAGAUUUUAAAUUUUGAAAAAUUUCACCUGAUCCCAUUUUUACAAAAAUAACUUGGGGUUUAUUUAGACUGGUCCUAACUAAUAUUCUAGAGUGAUAGGUGGAUUUCUAAGCUAAUUGUUCAUCAAUCGUUGCUCAAGACUUGGAGAAUUCACAAGGAAAACUCAGAAGGUCUUCAUUCAUGAGGUAGGUUCCAUAUCCUAGUUUCAAUUUCGAGUUUAGGGUAGAAAAUGGUUAAUGAGGAGUGUGAUUCUUGGGUGUGACAGUGUUAUUUAUGAAUGCAUGUACUAUUAAGUUUUGUGGGAAGGUUGUUGAGCUCAAAUGGGUAGACUUUGGGUUAUGGGAUGAAGAAAUCCACCAUAGGAGGACCUUGAGGUCAUAAUGUCCACCUAGUGUUUGUUAAAAUACUCAAAUGAGCUGAAACCAUAAAUACCUUCCUAAUUUGUGUUCAAUUUUGUUAUAUUUCCAAAUAGAUUGAAGUUGCUAAGAUUUCUAGAACAUUGCAGUAAUUUAAGAAAUCUCAAAGCGAGUAAUGUUGGCUAAACUCCUCUUGUAGAAUCAAAUCCAUGAUGUCCUCGUAAGUUGUAGUUAUGAUAGGCUCAAGAUCUUAUGUCUCAUGUUCCGAGUUAUUUCUUAUAAACUUGACUAUUCCGAAUAAACUCUGUGUCGAAAGUUAUAUGUUCAAAAUGUAUACUGAAUGCUUUUAUCAUAUUGUGUUAUCCUUCGAGAUUGUAUUCAUAUGUUACCAUGUGUCGAAAUAUUAUGAAUUCAAUUAUGUCUCAAAUGCUAGUUAUUAUGCCAUAUUGCGGAAGAAAACCCAAGGUGCCUAAGACUCUUAUUUGCCCAUACGUGUACUAAAAGUCGUGAUUAGAGAUGCUUUGUUGUUGACAAUACAUGAUGAUGUUUGCAAUUGAAAGGGGUGAUCAUGACAUAUGAAAUACGGCAACUGUGCCAAAAAUGAUAUUACAAUUGUGGCCACUAGUGCCAAUGAAAUAAAAAGAUGAGUAAAAGACUAUGAAAUGAACUGAAUGUCCUUUUUACAAUAAACAAUAGGGAUUAUCGUUAGUCACCGAGGAGGGGUAGGUUGAAAUGACCUAACCCUGAAACUAUACGUGCCGGUGUAGUUGUGUAUUAUGAUUAUUCCCCUUUUUUGGCAUGAGAUUGAUGUGAGAUUAUUUCCCUUAAAUAUGAUGAGAUGAUUGCUAGCAAAGGGUGAUGUCGAUCCACACGCAUUGUGGUGAGACAGCCUAACCAGUCGGGUCAAAAUCGGACGCCAUGCCGCACACAUAGUGGUGAUUGUUAUUGAGAUAAUGAUUGAGAUUUUUAUAGUGAUUGUGAUUGUGGUUAAUGUCAUUGGGUGAAAUUGCCUAGCAGAUCGGGUAGUGAUCGGACUCUGUGCUAAAGUCAUGAUGGUAUAUCCGUACUAAAGAUCUCCCAACUUAAAAUAUGUAAUUUACUUGAAAUCUUAUCUUGCUCCCAACUUGGUGUCUUGGUAUGUUUUGAGGCUUCCAUUGAUUCUAUGAUUGUUCUUCCUUGUUUUAUUACUCAUUCUAUUGAGAGGGUGUUUAUUCACUCAUACUAGUACUAUUCCAUAUAUACUAACGUCCCUUUUGUCGGGGGCGCAACAUCUUUAAUGGAUGUAGGUGGUUCCACAGCAGGCGGCUUUGCUCAGUGAUAGCGGUAUACCCUCUUCCCAGCUGACUUGGUGAGCCCCACUUCAUUUUAGGUCAUGUAUCUUUUGUUUCUUGCGUAUUAUGUUCUGAGGUAUAGUCGUGGCCUUGUUGAUGUCACUAUCAUAUUACUCUUUUGUAUCUAUUAGAGACUCCGUAGAUAUAGUAUGGGUUGUAUGUUGGUGUUGGAAAAGUCAAUCUAGUAAUAUUGUAUUUGUACCACUUGUUCCACUUCAAACUAUAAAAGGGUAUGUAUUUUGAGAUUUAUAAAUGAAGUAACUAAUGUCAAUGAAUUGGUGUUGAUCACAUGAUCUUCUUCUGGUCAUAAUGAAAUAGAUCUUCUCUUUAUUCAUGAGUGAGUUCGGGUAAAAGGUAUUGUAUAGGCUUGUUCGGUCGGGUUAUCUCGGUUGAGCACCGGUCACGCUCCCUGAGGUCGGGGCAUCACACCUAUCUAAUUACUAAAGUCAUAUCUUUAUUAGUCUGCUAACCGGUGAGAUUAUGGGUAAGGGUUCUUGUUCUUCUAAGGGGAGGUGUUAGGCACCCCUUAAAAUCUACAUGAGGUAGCUCCAUAGGACUUAGACUAGAUUUAGGAGUAAUUGUUUGUACUAUGCUUAACUAGUUUUUACAAGAGUACGGCUUGCUAUGCAUUAGGACAUAAUACUUACGAAUGCAGUGUGUAGCUAAAAGGGGAUGGAUUUAUGUAAGAGUCUUAGAAAAUGAUGUUAGUGUAUAUAUGCUUGAAAAAGCUUAAAAAGUAUAUAUGAUGUUCGUAUUUUUAAAAAUAUGUGAAAAGAAAAGCUAAGUUAAAACACUUUGUUCCUAAAGCAUGGAAGUUCAUAUUACUCUAAUACGAUAAAGAUGUUAUGAAAGUAAGCCUAAGAUAUACCUUGGCUUUUAAAUAUUUGAAGGAACCGUUUGAAAAUCUUUAUUUGGGGUGGCGGCAUCUGUUUUUUCGAAAUGAGUUGAUUUCCUUUUUAAAGAUCAAACAUGCGAUUCAAUUCUUGUUUUGUUUUUUAAAAGAGGAGUUGUCGUCUCUUGCUAAGCUUUUGGGCUUCAAAACCUUUAAGAAAAGUUAGCAAAACAUAGCAGCUUAAUAAUAUAAAUAACUUAUGAUCAGCGAAUAUAGGAUUAGUUACUAACUUAUACUUCUUUUAAUCCUAGGUUCUUUAGGGAUUGCCGAAGUUGUUAUAUGACUUAAGAUAUAAAGUAAAGUAUUCAAUCUAAUAUAUAAUUGGUGUAUACAUGUGAGAUAAAAUAACAACCANNNNNNNNNNNNNNNNNNNNNNNNAGAACACAACAAAAUGCAACAAGGCAGUAAGGCUAAGGCAAUGAGGUAGUAAAUAAUAAAGGAGUUAAAAGGAGAAGAUUGGACUCUGGUGUUUGGGCCUCAAAGAGGCAGGCCCAACAAUACAGGGACAGGAAACAGCUGACUCUGGACCUUCCGAGAUAUAGCAAUAUUGGAUUUGGGCCUGAGUUCCUUCAGAACUUAGCAGGCCCAAACAAAUGUACAUGUUCAAAAAGAAAAGUGAAGGUCAUUAGAAAGAUAAUACUCUAUACAUGUUCAUACAUGAAACUUGCAAGAAAAAAUAAAGAAUGUGACUAACAGUACUUAAGCACUAGGAGGGUCAUACAAACGUGGCAGUUAUGUAUUUUUUUUUUUGACAAUCCACUAGGCAAGUUCCUAGGGCUGGUUUUUUUAUAAAUACAAAUCCAAAAAAAUAACAAAGAAUAUUAGGAGGUCUUACAUGAUGAAAUAGUUAAAAUUUGACAAAUACAUAGAUCAUAUUAUCAAUUUUGGGCUUAUGAUACCCAAAAUGGAUAUUACAUUGUGAUCUAGUAUAGAAAUAGAAUAUAUAGCAUAAAACAUCUAAACAAAUACUAGAAUAUUACAAACGUAUCCAUUUUUUUUAUUCGCGCGCACUUGUUUGGCAUUAUGACCCGUCGUGAUGUAAUUAUCAGCACUUGUGCAUUCCAUAUCCACUGAUAACAGAUCCCUCAUGUGAUAGAAUCUGCAUUCCAUUAGUGUUGCAAUAUGUUGUCUCGAACUGUGGCCAUCAUCUUUUUCCAGCACUGCCCAGCAGCAGAUGCUACUAAUGACUAUCCAUUUUUUGCGUCCAAAUUUCAGACAUGAUGAUUGUUUGAAAGUGUGAGGCCUUCACUUCUUUUUUGCAUGAUCUCCUUCCGUGUGUUGCUGUAUUCUUUGCUUCACAAUCCUCCUGUCUAGCACUACACCAGCAUGUGGCUUUUGUGUCGAGUUUUGUGUGCAGUCCUUGUGUUAACAUCUGAACUCUUUGCAUUGUUUGAACUUUGGGAUAUUAAAUAAGAGUACUGCAUUGAGAUUAUGUACCUCAACGUAACCAUUUUACCCAAAAAUCAGUGCCAAAUCCAGUAGUUUGAGUAGUUUUUCUGUUAAUCUGCUGGCCAUCAGUAUCAUUCCUUCCCAUUUUUGCUGCUAUGUUUGUGCUCGUCCAUGAUUCCUCGUCAAUGAAAUGAGUACAAAGUACUAAUACCACCAGUUGAAGGUUCCUCACUGAAUAAGGCAUAGCUAUAGUAACGAUCCCUGCAAAAAAGAAAAUAAUGUUAGAUAAAAAAUUCAUCUCCAUGAUCUCCUCUUUAAGAAUUUGAUCAUGGGAGAUUACUGAGUGAUUUUCCUCAUAACUAAUGUGUUCCUUCUUGAACUUUGCCUGGUUUCCUGUAUAUUCAGUUGGUCCAUUCGAAAUAUUUAUCAUUUUGAUCAUCAAGCCAUCAAUGUCCAUACACACGCAAAGACUUCCAAAUGUGCACCAAAGUUGAGUGCAUCAUAUAUCAAUUAAUUUUGUGUGUUUUUUAAAGCAUGCUAUCAGUGUGGAUUGUUGUACAACCCCCUUUUUGUAUCAUUGAAGUGUUAACUUGAGGUUGGAUUUUACUCCAUAACACCCCAAUUCUUCUCAUAUUUGGCUCCCAAAAGAAGCUGCCUAGUAUGAAUAUUUUGUGUAGCAGAGUGUUCGGCAGUUGGUUCCUCCAAGUUUCUAUGCUUGUGCCUAUCGUCAAUUCUCUCCCAAUGGAUUAAGUACUAGGUACUAAUACCACCAGAUGGGAGUUCCUUAAAGAAUAGGGCAUAGAUAUAAUAAUUUUCCAUGCAACAGAGAAAACAAAGUCAGCGAAAAAAGGCAUCACCAUGCUCUUCUCCAUACAAAUUUGUGCAUGGCAAUAUACUGUGUUAGCACCAGAUUCACCACUUUCUCUCCUUUCCUCUUUACCUCCUAAUUCCAUGAAACUCUUAUUCUUAAGUAUGGUCAUUGCAUCUUGUCUUCAUUCACUAUCCUCCUACCAUGUGAGUCUAGAUUCCAGAAAUCAUAAUACCCAUUAUCUCCAACAUCAAGAGCAUAGUUUGCUAGGUGAUCUGCCAAGUUAUUCCCCUCUCUAAAUAUGUGUGACACUCUAAUGUUACAUUCCUCCUUCAUUCUCAAGAUUUCAUCUAUUUGAUCAACAAUACCCCAGGGUGGUUUCCAUGAUUACUCAAUAAUGUUCUUUAACAGCAUCAAAUCAGUUUGCAGCCAUAUCUGUGUGUAAUUCAUUGCUUUGCACAGUCUCAAAGCCUUCAGAAUUGCCAUAGCACCUGCUUCAUUGUUUGAUCCCUCUGUGAUUUCUCUUCCUGUUUCAUAUUUCAAAUCACCAGCCUCAUCCCUUAAGCAAAAACCUAUCGAACUUCUUCCUGGGUUGCCUCUGCAUGCUCCAUCAGUAUUGACUUUGAUCCAUCCUUCUAAAGGGAAUUCCCAUAUUACUUUCUCAAACUUCAAUUUUGGAGUAUAAUUCUGCAGCAUAUUCAAUAGAUCUUGCUACUUGUGAGGCACACAAAGACCUGGUUUUCUUACUUGCACAAAUGCUUGCAUAGUUGUUGAUACUUGGUAAAUAACUCUGCUAACUGAGACUGCCUCCCCAUAUUUCAGACUGUUCCUUCUCUUUCAUAGUUCCCACACAAUACAUGAAGGUAGAGCCUGUAUUAUUGGGAAGCAAUUGAGCAGUCCAACACUUGGUAACGGCUUGGUGUAAAGACAGACCCUCCAUUGCAAUUCCUACCCUCGUUAAGAAGUAUUUCCACACUGUUAAAAUAGCCUUUGAUGUGAAGAAUAAGUGUACUAGUGUUUCCUCCUUAGGAUCAGCACAACACCAACACCUAGAUGGCAUGAAAUAUCCCAAUCUUCUCAUAAAGUCAUCGAGGGGUAGUUUAGCUUUCCAUACUUUCCACAUAAAGAAGGAGAUCUUGAAUGGCAGCCCCUUCACCCAUAUAAUCUUGUAGGCUAGCUUAGGAUUGUCCCUCCUUCGUAAAUACUCCCAAGCUGACUUUACUGUGAAAUGACCUCUAGUUUCAAGCAUCCAGUAUGGAGUGUCUACAACAUUUUCCAUAACUGGAGGUCUAAUUUUCUCAACAAUAUGCAGUGCCAAUUCUUCAGGUAAAACUUCAAAUAGUUUAUCCACAUUCCAAGCACCAUUUUCCACCAACUCAUUCACAUUAUGUAUGUCUUCAUCAACACCAAAAUCUGGAAGGACUAGGAAAUAUAAUGCUCCUACUCCUGCAGAGCCCAUUUUUUGUUUCCAUGUGAUUUGAUGCUCAAUUAUAUCAAUGCAUUCUAACAUCUUUCUCCACAUGUGAGAUCCCUCCCUCCAUGGAACAAUUACUGCAUUUAGUUUUUUGCAGUAUUUUUGACUCAUAAAGGAACUCCAUAUGCUAGGCUUGGUUCUGAAAUUCCACCAUAAUUUACAAAAGAGUGCCUUUGAAACAUCAUGUAAUAAUCUGAAUCAAAUACCUCAUUCAUCAUAUGGCAUACAAAGGGUGUUCCAUGACGCCCAAUGCCUGGUGUUUCCUCCUACAUUACUGCUCCAGAAAAACUUGGCAAAUAUUUCGCGGAGCUUAUUGAUGACGUAGUUUGGAGGAUUGACAGUUGAUAGCAAGUGUAUAGGCAUACUCUAUAGAACAUUAGCAAUCAACACUGCCCUGUCUUCUAUUGAAAGUAACUGACCUUUCCAUGAUUGCAACUUGUCCAUAAUCUUUGUGAUCAAACCUUUGUAGUAGUCCAUUCUCCUACUUGCAUAAAAAAUGGGGCAGCCUAGAUAAGUAAAUGGAAAUUUCUGUCUCUCUAUACCAGUGAUCCUCUCGACGUUUCUAACCACCUCUAUGUCUACCAAAUGAUGCAUGUAGAUGGCUGAUUUGCCUUUGUUCACCAACUGCCCUGAUGCCAUCUCAUAUGCAUGUAGCACUUCCAUCACAAUUCUUAAUGAUGUUGCAUAAGAUGAAGAGAAUAUUAUUGUGUCGUCUGCUUAUGAUAGAUGGUUUAUUUUUGGGCUAUAUUUUGGCAAUCCAUGUCCACAAAAAUAAAGAUUCAAAUGCAGAGAAUUCAAGCCUCGUGAUAAUGCUUCAGUAGCUAAGAUAUACAGUGUAGGUGAAAGAGGAUCGCAUGUUUAACUCCCCUCGAUGAUUUGAAAAAUCCAUGUGGUUGUCCUUUCACAAGAAUAGAAUACCAGUUAUUCCCUACAAUAUCAAAUACCAACCCAAUGAAUCUUUCUUAAAAUCCCAGUUUCCUCAACAUUUUGGUUAUAAACAACCAAGAUAGCCUAUCAUAGGCUUUUGCCAUAUCGAGCUUAAUGACAACAUUUGGCCCUGCCUUUAUUCUGAGUCUAAUAUCAGUGAUGAUCUCUUGUGUUAGUAGCAAAUUCUCUACUAUGCUUCUCCCCUUUACAAAGCCUGCUUGUUCUUCUUAAAUCAACUCAGGUAAUAGCCCCACUAAUCUCUCGUGAAUCACCCUAGAGAAAAUCUUAUUGACAAAAUUACUAAGGCUGAUUGGCCUUAUGUCAACAAAGGUAUUUACUUCUUUCUUUUUUGGCAAUAGAACAAAAUUUGUGUCUGUCACACAUUUAGGCAAUUGCUGACCACAGAAGAAUGUCAUCACCAUUGCAAACUCAUCUUCUUCAAUGAUCUCCCAACAUGUGUGAUAGAAGGUGUUACAUCACGUACUUUAAUAUUAGGAUAAGUCGUAAUAAUCCAUAUAAGCUUGAAGGGGAUUAAGACUAUUCAUGAGGUUAUAAAGGAUUUGUGACUAUGUCAUUGUAAGACCCCGUAAGUUUAACAACCUUGAUACUAUUAUAUAUAUAUUGAUAUAGUAUUUUUAGUGGAAUAUUUUUGUAAAACGGUUUAAGAAAGAAAUAAUAUGAUUUAUUAUAGUUAUUAAUAUUACUACUUUCAAUUAUACACAUAAUAUGAGGAAGUUUAUGAUAUUUUCUUUAUUGUAAAUAUAGAAAUUAUUUUCUCACAAGAAAAGAAGGUUAUCUUUUUACCAUUUUAAGAAUUAAGCGUACGAAAAUUUGUACUCUUUAUAUGAGAUUAUUUUGAGACCAUAAGUAUUUAUGCUAUUUGUAACAAGUGAUAAGUAAGUGUUAUAAAAUAUUAUAAAAUACGGUCCGAGCUAUAAUACCCGAUAUUUAUGGACUAGUACCAUACAAGGUACCCUAUGACCGUAAUAGUAAGAUGUAUAAAGUGUGUUAAAAGUGAGUAGUAUUUUAAGAUAAUCCUUAAUUAUGUAAAUUAGUAGGUAAUGGAGGAACUAACUAGUUAAUUAAUAAUUAAUGGUUGAGUAAUUAAUGUCUUUUGGAUAAGGGUAAUAAGCCAAAACGUGGCAACACAAUGAAUCUUCAUCAAAGCCAAAGUAUGACUCAUUAUUUCAUGGAAUUGGGUGGCAAAAUACAAAUCAUUAGACCAAAGUCUAUCUCUCAACUCAAGAUCAUUCGUAUGAAUUAUUACCUCUACUUUUUGUAUGUUUUCGAUUUACUAUCAUACAUCUUUAUUGGAAUUGGAUAGGCUGUUGCAGAAGUCUAGCUUGAGUCGCACAUCAUUUUAGUAAAAGAGAAGCAUUAUAUGUCUAAAGAACAUGAGAAUUUCUUAAUUAACGUGAGAUUUUGCAAUAUUAAGGGAGUACGAUGUAAUCGUUCCCAAGAAUAUCAUACGGAUUUAUCCCUAUUUCAGGUAUGAUAAGGCUAAUCCUUCUUUCUUUUGACAUGAUCCAAGUAACGAUACGUAAAUAUAAUGUUAUUUCAUAAAUGAUUCUACUCUUAGUAACUAAGAAGGUCUACGUUAUACAUUCUUGUAAAAUGAUAUUCAAUCAUGUCUAAGUAUAUUCCUAAGUCUCUAUUGAGGUAUUUGAUAAAGAUGUUAAUGUUUAUAAUAUAGUGAUACAUGCAUCUUCAUACAUUUACCACCGUGCUACGGUCGGUUGGGCAGUCAUGCAUAUGCAUUUACCACUGAGCUACGACCGGUUGGGCAGUUACAUAUUUAUUACCGUGCUAUGGCCGGUUGGGCAGUCAUGCAUCUUCAUUUAUCACCGGGCUAUGGCCGGUCGGGUAGUUACCACCGGUUGGGCAGUUAUGUAUCAUUAUUUACCAUCGGUUGGGAAGUCAUACAUUUACCACCGUGCGAAGAUCGGUCCGGCAGUUACCACUGAUCAGUUGGGCAGUCAUACAUCNNNNNNNNNNNNNNNNNNNNNNNNNNNNNNNNNNNNNNNNNNNNNNNNNNNNNNNNNNNNNNNNNNNNNNNNNNNNNNNNNNNNNNNNNNNNNNNNNNNNNNNNNNNNNNNNNNNNNNNNNNNNNNNNNNNNNNNNNNNNNNNNNNNNNNNNNNNNNNNNNNNNNNNNNNNNNNNNNNNNNNNNNNNNNNNNNNNNNNNNNNNNNNNNNNNNNNNNNNNNNNNNNNNNNNNNNNNNNNNNNNNNNNNNNNNNNNNNNNNNNNNNNNNNNNNNNNNNNNNNNNNNNNNNNNNNNNNNNNNNNNNNNNNNNNNNNNNNNNNNNNNNNNNNNNNNNNNNNNNNNNNNNNNNNNNNNNNNNNNNNNNNNNNNNNNNNNNNNNNNNNNNNNNNNNNUAGAAAAAUAAAACAAGAACAUAAUUUUGUGCAUUACAUUGGUAAUAUGUGGCACCUUCACGUGUUUACCAGUUGUUUUGCUGGAAAGAUUGUUGUUUUACUUCUUGGUUGUGUUAAUGUGGUACACUAACUGGGGUGCAUCUGUGAGAGUAGAUGAAGAUAAGUUUAUUUUGCUGUCUUUUUUGCCUUACAUACUCAAUACAUUAUUCGUACUGACGUCAUUUUGUUGGAGACGCUGUAUUCAUGCCUGCAGGUAUAGAUAAUCAGUUUGACGAGCCCUCAUAGUAGACGAGAUUGGCAUUCAGCAAAGGAUCGGUAAGACUCCACCUCAUUCGGAGUGCAACCGAGUCUAUGAGUCAUCGUGUCAGAGUUUUGCUAAAGAUUUAUGGGUAGGCCGGUACCCUGUCCCAUUUGAUGUCAAAUAAUUUUAGAGGCUAUGUAGAUAUAGGUUCAUUUUGUACACUAUGUCAGAGGCCUUGACGGCUCAUAUAUAUAUUCAUGUUUUAAGAAAACUGGUUCAGGGAUAAAGUGUUGCCCACUUAUAGAUAUUUCAGUAGCAUAGGACAAUGGUCUGAUCUAAUUUUGGACAAAUGAGUCACCUCCAAACCAGGAAAAGUCUGUUAUAAUUCCAUGUUGCCUAGGAAUCUAUAGAGUCUCUUAAAUAUACAAUCAUCAUCUGAUCUUCCAUUCCACCAUGUAAAAAUACUCCCCUUGAAUCCCAAAUCUGUCAAGUUACAUGUAUUGAUGCAAUGCCUAAAGUCAUCAACUUCAUUAAGGGACACUGGCAGUCCAUCAUACUUUUCUUCUUCAUCCCAAAUCACAAUAAAAUCACCUCCCACGAGUCAUGGGACUGUCAUAUCUCUAGCCAUUGCGUACAAAGAAUCUCACAACUCAAUUCUCUCUAUUGUAAAACAUUUGGCAUAGACCAAUGUGAGUAUAAGUUCCACAUGGGUUUCAGUAUGAAAGAGUUUCAAAGUCAGUUGUUGCACCAUAUUAUAUAAUAUUGUAACUUCAAAUACUUCAUCUAUAAAUUCCCAUAUUUUGUUUUACAUAUUCACCACAGCCUGAGCCAAACUAAUUCUUCUUCUAUAUCUCUCCAUUUUGUUAGACUGCUGCAUAAGUUUAAGGAUCCCAAUAAAUUCAAAGUGUUUCUGCCUGUGCAUUGUGAUCAACCUCUCAAAGGCUUGCAUAGUUUUUACUAAUCUGACAUUCCAUAUGAUUGCAUCUAUUAAUAAUUUUGGGAUUUAGUCAGAUUUCUCCUCGGUUGUACUCCACCAAUUGGAACAGUUGAGGUCUCCUUAAUUUGCUUCUUUCUACCCUUAGCAGCAAAUUUUACCUUCUCAAUGUGCCUAGGUGAGAGAUCCCCUUGCCUAGCAACAUAAAAAAAGUUUUGUUCAGUAAACUCUUCAUUCAAGUCUUUGUUUGCAUGAUCAACUAGAACCUCUAACUUUUUUGCAUCUUCUGUAGCUACUACACCAGUGUUUUCCUGAGUAGUAGUCACAGUCUGCUCCCUAGCAUUGUUCUUAUUAUGCAGUUGUACUGGAUUCAAUGGAACAGUAAUAUCUGCUGUGGCCUGCACCUGUGGAUUAGUCAACUGCUUUUUUGAUACUUUUGCACUGCCUUUCAAUUUGGAAUUAGCAGCAACAUCAACUAUACCACCUUGUCAUGUUUCACCUGGAUCAAUAACAUUAAUAUCUACUCCUUUAUUAAUUAUUGCUUCUACCUUAUUUCCUUCAGCAUUGAUCAUAUCAACCUUGUUAGAAUUCAUUUCUUUGGAAUUUACUAAACUCUGCUCCUCAGUAGUCUUCUUUGCAUUGGCAAUCCCAUUUAUAUUUUGGUUCAUCAACUGCAUCACCUCCAAUUUUCUCUUCACUUUGUAUCUCAUCAGGAAUUUCCCCCUCCUCUGAGUCUCCUUCAGUCUGAUCAGCCCAUAAAUUGCCACCUUUUCAAUUGACCUUUUCAUUGCUUUUGAAUUUUUCAAAGUCUGCAUCAACAAUAUGAUCCUUGUCAAUAUUUUUGGCUAGUUCUCCUUCAAAUCUAGUAUCCUGAGAUGGAACAUCUUGGCAGGAUGUAUUAGUUCUAACUAAAUUUCCAUUGAAAGCUCUUUGUACCCAUUGUGCAGUUGUUUCCUUAUUUUGCUGAUCCUAUACUCUUUUCUCCUUGUUUCUUGCCUCUUCACGCUCCUUUUUAUUGUUAAUCCUUGCUGGACUAGGACUAGUAUUUGGGACCACUGAAUUAAGACUUUUUCCUGCUACAUUUGAAUUCACAUUUGCUCCAUUAUUUUGUUUGUCAAGUACUGGAGAUUUUGGAUUAAAUGAUGGUGCUGCAGGAUUUAAAGUUGUAAUUUCCUUAGGAUUAGAAAUGUCUCCUUGCCCAGAAUUCUCCUCAACCAAAACCAACUAAUUAUUCUCAUUAGCUUCAUUGUUAUCCACCUCCAAUAUUGCAAAUUGAUUAGUUGUUUGGACCUGUUGAGGCACCACAACAAAUUAUUUCUCAACUGGUACAAUUUCUUGUCCAGUUUUAGCCACACCAUCAGUCAGCUUCUCCUUGCCUUUUCCUGAUUGUCCUUGCCUCUUUCCAUUGCACACCAACAUUGCCAACUACCUUACCACUUGAUAGGAUCAUCAAAGGGAAUGUCUCUUUAACUCUUUCUUUGUUAGCUCCUACCACAACUUCAUUAAACCUUGUUGCUCCACAUGCUUAGUUUCCAUUAGUUCAGGAUGAAGCCUCCAGCAUUCCAACAUAUCAUGUCCUUGUAAUUUGUAUUUCUUACAAUAUUUAGGCAAGUAGUCGUAUUUAAUAGUUACCCACUUAGUUCUUACUACCCCAGUUAAUUCAUUCUCAAUGUCCAUGCGCACCUUCUUAGGGAGGUCAACUAAAGGAUCAACAAACACUUUCACACACACACAACUAGGACUAGUUUUCUUCACAAUAGCCAUAUCAAGGUGAAGGGGUUUUUCCACUGCUGAGGCUAAAGAGAAUAAACAUUCCUUGACGAAAAAAGUUGGCAACGAGUUAGGAAAAGAAAUCCAAGCCAUUACCUUUGGUGUUUCCUCUCCGGCUUUGAAUUUUGCAUCAUAAAUCAGUGUUCACAACUGGUAUUCAUACCCAAGCUUAUCCUUGACAUAAUUAACACUUUUCGAAGUAAAAUCAAUGAAAUCUUCCCAUAGUGUCAAGCGUAUCAACACAUGCAUGUCCCUAAGGUAUCCAAUAUUACAUUCGCCCUUAAUUCCGUAUUGAGGAGGGACAAUUCGACGUAGUUCAUUAAGCUCAGGCCAUCCAUAUGAUAAUUUACAAAUUACUGCAUAUUGCAAUCCUUCAAUCGCAUUCAUUUGAUCCACCUCUGCUUCAGUAAACUUAACAAAACGUUGUCCAUUAAGUCAACUAGCUCGACGAAGUGCAAUUGGUUGAACAGAAUUGGCUCGCGCCUGCAGGGCACUGUUCACUGUUGAAGGUUUCAGGAUUUUCGAGAAAGCUAACGACUGGGGAUUGGAUUCUGUGGUCGUAUUUGUUGGGGCGAUGGAGGGAGAGGGCUGACCAGCCAGAAUAGGUGGCUGCCCGCCGGCCAUUAUGGCCAUUGAAGCUCAAACUUCCAGCUUUUCCGCGAUGAAUAGUAGCUAAUCCCUAUUUCAUUGGAUGAACAGUGAAGUGUUAUGCUACUGUUCACAAUACUGGAGCAGUGGAUCUUGAGAGAAAAAUUCUAGAGAGAGAAUUUUUCUAGGGUGUUCAAGGGUAGCAGCAUGUUUCGGCAGUUAUGUAUUAACAUGUGAUCCAUAUUUUUUUUAAACCCCUCCCAAAUUAGGAAGAUUUAUAGUGUUUCCACAUGUGAUCCAUAUUGAAUACCUUUCGUUGUCAUUAAAUACUAAACCCACAGAGAAUAACAAGUGUCAAUGAAUUAAGGGUUAAGGAGAAUGUUUCACCCAAGGUCAAAGAAUCUCCCGAUACUUCAAAGUUCCCAAGGGUCUCAAGGCCCAGGGCAAUGCUUGUGCCGGGGAGAGUAGCCCAACCAAAAAUAAAAUAAUACUCCCAAAUAUCCUUAACCACUAAUGACUCAUUCUUCCCUUAACCAUCAAUCACCAAAAUAACACACCAUAAGAGUAUACACUUCUUAACAGAAUGACAAAAGGAGCACAAAAAUAGUUUCAUUUUUUCAUAACUAUAUUUCCAAUACUAAGUGAAUGAAGCACACAUUAAACAAGAAUGAAGGUCAAGUUCCAAACACACAUAGAGGUAGGAACACUAUAAUGUUAUUUCUAAAGAAACAAACACUUUGGUUCACACAUUUCAAGGGUAGAUAAAGAGCAUACAGUUCAAAUAUGCAACAACCUAGAAAAACAGAUGCAUCAUAGAUUGUUUUAACUCAGGUCUUGUCACUAGCACUCACAUAGGUCAACCAUACUACUUGGAACUUUUGAAAGCAUCAACAAAAGAUUCAGACAAAUAGUCCUAGUUUGAAACAUCUACAGGUGUUACCAGAAUAUAAUCAGAACUUUUAACAUGAUUAUGUUUACAGAUUCAAAUGGAACAUCUAAGAAUGCUUAACAGGGUCACAGACUAUCAGUCUUACUUAACCUUGAAAUUGAUGACAGAACCACCACUUCACAAGAGUAUUAAUCUCAUUAUUAAAAAGGCAAACUAUGAUAUCUGAGCGGUAGAAAUAAGAAGUUUCCCUUAGGAUUCAUAGAUUAGAUUCAGUUUGGAUUACCAGGGAAAGAGAGAAUUGAGUGCAGUUCCAAAAUAGUGUACAGAAGUGUGAAAUCAUGAAAGAUAAACAGAGGUACAUGUAGCACUUUCAUUCAACUACAGAUAGAUACUUCAACUAAGGUCUUACAAAAACAGGAGGAGUUUCACUCAUUAUAAGACCAAGUCAACAAUGUCAUAAAGGGGGUAAAAGACAAGGUAGAUAUUGUACCAAAUAGGUUUAACUCAGCUGUACAGACUAAGAUUAAAAUCUAAACAUGAUGUAGUUAUACCCAGCUUGUAAAAUAAUUAUCAUUCAACUAUAGUAAACAUAGCUUUAACCUAUUUUAUGAAAGAUAACUUGAUCCUAACAGAAUACGUACAGAAUGUUUACUGAUGUUCAUAAAAGUUCACCUUAAUGAGACUGUCUCAUAUAGCACCUAGAGAUGCAACUCACAGUUAGAAACAGGCAUAAGACUCUCAUAGUAAUGACUCAAAUGUUGCUUAUUGAGUUACCAAAGGCUUAUAUAAAUAAGGAGAGCAUUCAAACACUUAAACUUCACAUGCUUCAGCUAAAUGAUGAAGGAUUAAACUGUGAGAUUUUAUGUUUGGUCGAGUUAGAAUUAUCGAACAACAACCUCAAUAACAGAACAACAAAAUGCAAAUGAUAGUGUGGUAGGGAUAGAGAUCAAAGUAGAAUCAUUAAAAGAAAAUUAGGUCUAGGCAAACAUGAGAAGUCAUUGAGGCAUAUUAAGAAAUCUUAAUCAUGUGAACUAUUUGAUUCAGAAUAGAAAUCAUUAAGAUAACAUAACAACUUAAUCAAUGCGUAUUAGAGAUAUAUGAAAACAUAACAACUAACCACAUAUCAAUAACAAGUCAUCAUGAACCCGGAUAAAUAAUUAUAGACUAAUAACAAACAUCACAAACGAAACAAUUAACUAAAAGACAAUAGCAUGUUCAUGAUCAUCGAAUGAAACUGUCAAAAGAGAGAGGGUGGAGGUACACUGACCUUUUCUAGGGCAAGAGACCAAACAUGAUUUUAACUUAGAUGCAUGAAAACCAAAGUUUCAAGCUCCUAAGCAGUAAAGGGACUCGAAAACAAAAGGAAAUAGAGAUUGAGCAGAAAAGAAACCUAGGCUUCUAAAUCUUAAUUCGUAUGAGAUUUUUAGACUCUUGUUAGGUUUUGUAGGUCUAGUUGGUGAUGUUACGUGAGAGAAAUCAGGCUCUAUUUAUAGUGUCACUUAAUGGCUUAGGGUGUCAUAUUCAAGCAUAGAUAUUGGAAGAUGACAGAGGAGUAUUGAUGCAAUCAAGAUUGGGAAAAAUCUAAGGAGACAAAGGGAAAAUGAUAAAUAAGUUUUUACAUAAGUGAAGAUCGACGUUUGAAGGCAAAGAAGCAUCGGGCAAGACAUCAAUGUCUAGAGGUCACUACGUUUGACCUAAGGACAAUGAAGGACAAUGGUGAUGAUGAAAAGCCAUGCAUGCCAUGGAUUUAAUAGCACAUUGAGAGAAAUCCAAAGACUUAACAUUACAUCGUUGUAUCUAGGGUUCAGAUUUUGGGUAUUUGAAUUUUGGAUAAUGAAACAGGAAAGAAUCGGCGAGAAUCGCGGAUCGGGGAGGUAAAUAGCAUGAUUAUCUAUUUGAUUUGUGACCUUGCACAAAUUUGUGCAAGGUAUGUGACUGAUUUGAUCAUGGCGAGUUGAGAGAAGAGAAGAUGAAAGGGGAAAUGGGGGAUGGCCGUUUGUGGCAAAUGAAUUAGGGUUAAGGAGUGGGGUUUGGCCAUCUCUGAAUUAAGAGUGAGAGAGGAGAUCUGGGCCGUUGGAUAUGAUGAUCAACGACCCAAAUAAUUCAGGCACUUAAAGGUUUUAAAAGAUUAGAAAGUUAAAAUAUAAGAGCCAUUAGAUCUUUUAUUUUUAACGAUUGAGAUUAAAUCGAAUAAGAUGUUUAAAAUUAAAGGAAAACCAGAGAUAAAAUGAGGGUCGUCUGUAGAAUGGACGACCUAGAUUGAUUGUGUUUCUUUUGUGAGUAAUAGAGAUAGGUGAUGUGGUGUGCUCUGAUUGGUUCUCAUUGGUUGGGGCGGAUUGCCAAAGUAAAAGAAGGGGUGGACUUGGACUGGGUCAGAUGGGAUUGGGCUGGUUUUGAUUUAAAGAAUGGCCAAUUUGUGUUUAAUUGUUCAAUUGGAAAUGUAGCCCUUUUAGUCUUUAACCCUUUUGAAAUUAAUUUAUAUAACAUUAUUUAAUUUCUAAUAAAAUGUAGUAAAAUUACAAAUAUCAAAUAUACUAUUAAUUAUUGUAAUUACUUAUAAAAUACUUUGUUUUCUAAAUUACAACACUAAUUUUGAAUUAUCAACAUAGUAAUCUAAUUAAUUCAAAUUUUAUGGAGUAAUUAAUUAUAAAACAUCAAUGGCAUAUUAAAAUUUAUUUUAAUAAUAUUAAAAUAGUAAGUACAUUUGUAAUUACAUAAUUGUAAUGCUGGGUGAUUAAUUUCAAAACUAAUACUUAAUUAAUUUGUAAAAAUAGUUAUUUAUUGAUAGAAAAUACUUUCAAACCAUUCAUUGUAAAUUAUUAAGCACAAGUAAAUUAACUCGAUGCUAUGCUUUUCCUGCCAGGUUAGAGGUGGUUGCUUCAGACGUAGUGAUCACAAGUAUUGUUUCAGUGUGCCACAUGGAUGAUUUAGUAUUAUAUGACCCUGGUUUCACUUAUUUAUAUGUAUGAUCGUACUAAGCUGGUUAUUUGGACAUGCCCCAUGAUUCAUUAGUUAUGCAUGUUCAUAUAUCUAUGCUGGUGGGUGAUUUUGUUAUUGUGGACCAUGUAUGUUGGUCAUGUAUGGUGGCUAUUGGGGGUAAUGAGACGAGGGUUGAUCUUUUUCUACUUGACAUGGUUGAUUUUGAUGUAAUAUUGGGUAGGGAUUGGUUGUCACCAUAUCAUGUUAUCCUUAAUUAUCACACUAAGACCGUGACAUUGGCGAUGUCGGGGAUGUCGAGGUUAGAGUGGAGAGGUUCUCUAGAUUAUAUUCCUAGUACAGUGAUUUCAUACUUGAAGGCUCAACAGAUGGUUAAUAAGGUAUGUUUGGCAUAUUUGGCCUUUGUCAGGGAUGUUAGUGUGGAUACUCCUAUCGUUGAGUCAGCUUCGGUAGUGAGAGACCUCCCAGAUAUGUUUCCUCCAGACGUGUCGGGCAUGCUACCUAAAUAGGGACAUUGAUUUUGGUAUUGACUUGGUGUCGGGCACUUAACCCAUUUAUAUUCCACCAUAUCUUAUGCACCAGCGGAGUUAAAGGAAUUAAAAGAACAACUUCAGCAGCUCCUUGAUAAGGGUUUUAUCAGACCGGAUGUGUCGCAUUAGGGUGCUCCAGUUCUAUUUGUGAAGAAGAAGUAUAGUAUUAUACGGAUGUGUAUUGAUUACUGGCAAUUGAACAAAGUUACAGUCAAGAAUAAGUACCCUUUGCCGUGCAUUGUUGACUUACUUGAUCAGCUUCAGUGUGCUAUAGUGUUCUUUAGGAUUGAUUUGAGGCCUGGGUAUCACCAGUUUAAGAUUCGGGAUUCAGACAUUCUGAAGACGGCAUUCAGGACCCGUUAUGGUGACUACGAAUUUUUUGUGAUGUCUUUUGGGCUGACCAAUGCCCAACAGCCUUCAUGCAUUCGUUCGUCAUAGUGUUCAUUGACUGCAUGUUGGUGUACUCUCGCGGUCGGGAGGAUCAUGAACAGUAUCUGAGUGUUGUACUCGUGACUUUUAGGGAGAAGAAGUUGUAUGCUAAAUUCUCUAGGUGUGAGUUCUGGCUUGAUUCUAUGGCGAUCGUAGGGCACGCGAUGUCCAGUAAGGGGUUCAAGGUAUAUCCGAAGAAGAUUGAGGCAGUUCAAAGUUGGCCUAGACCGUCAUCAAAUAAAGAGAUUCAGAGCUUCUUGGGUUUGGCCAGAUACUAUUGUCAUUUUGUGGAAGGUUUCUCAUCCAUUUUUACACCUUUGGCUAGAUUAACCUAGAAGCAGAGAGGCCACUAGCCAUGGAUUUUCAAGCCUUGACCAAUCAGUUGCGAGAUUGGAUUUUUUGGAGUCUAGUCGAGUUCUUGCUUGCAUUGUGGCCCAGUCGUCAUUUUUGGAGCGUAUCAAGGCCCAUUAAUUUGAUGAUCCUCACAUGAUGGCAUUGAGGGACACGGUUCAGCAGGGUGGUGCCAAGGAGGUUGUGAUUGGUGAUGAUGGUAUUAUUUGGCUUCAAGGCUGGGUUUGUGCUCUAAAUGUUGAUGAGUUGAGAGAUUUGAUCCCAGACGAGGCUCACAGCUCAUGCUAUUCCAUUCACCCAGGUGUCACGAAGAUUUACCGUGACUUGAAACAACACUAUUGGUGUUGGAGAAUGAAGAAAUAUACCUUUGCUUGUGUCUCUCGGUGUUUGAAUUGUCAAUAAGUGAAGUGUAAACAUUAGAAAUUAGGAGGAUUGAUUCAGAAAUUGGAGAUACCGAAGUGAAAGUGUGAGCGUAUUACCAUGGAUUUCAAUAUCGGUCUCCCAUAGACUUUGAAGAAGUAUGACACACUUUGGGUUAUUGUGGACCGGCUGUCUAAAUAUGCACACUUCAUUCCGGUAGUGACUUCCUAUUCUACAGAGUAGUUGGCUGAGAUCUACAUUUGGGAAAUUAUCUGCUUACAUGGCGUGCCCAUUUCCAUCAGUUUAGACUGGGUCACGCAGUUCACAUUGUAGUUUUUGAGAGCAGUGCAGCGAGAGUUGGGCGCAUGGGUUGAGUUGAGUACAAAAUUCCAUCCUCAUAUGGACGGGUAGUCCGAGCACACCAUUCAGAUCAUGGAGGAUAUGUUACGUGCAUGUGUUAUGGAUUUCAGAGGUUCAUAGGAUCAGUUUCUUCUAUUAGAAGAGUUCGCCAACAACAACAGCUUUCAGGCCGUAUAUGGGAGGAGAUGUCGUUCUCCAGUUGGUUGGUUUGAUCCAGGGGAGGCUAGGUUGUUGGGCACCGAUUUGGUCUGGAAUGCUAUGGAAAGGUUUAAGGUGAUUCAGGAGCAUCUUUGUACAACACAGUCUAGACAGAAAUGUUAUGCUGAUAUGAAGGUUCGUGAUGUUGCAUAUAUGGUAGGUGAGAAUGUUCACUUUAGAGUUUCACCCAUGAAGGGAGUGAUGAGUUUCGGAAAAAAGGCAACUUGAGUCGUCGGUAUAUUGGCCCUUUUUAGGUGCUUGAGAGGAUUGGAGAGGCGACCUACAAACUUGCAUUGCCACCUACUCUAUCUGGUGUUCAUCCAUUGUUUCAUGUUUCAUAUUUCUAUGCUCCAAAUGUAUUAUGGUUAUCCGUCACAUGUUUUGGAGUUCAGCACGGUGAAUGUAGAUGGGGAUUUGACUUAUGAUGUGGACCCGUUGGCCAUUUUGGAUUGGUAGGUCGAAAGUUGAGAUCAAAGAAUAUAACAUUAGUGAAGCUGGAAGGGAUAGGUCAGCUGGGCUAGGGGGCUACUGGGAGACUGAGCAGGAGAUGCAGAGCAUACAUCCAAACCUAUUUUGAGACUCCAAGUAGGAUUCUAGGCUUGUUUGAGGACGAACAUUUGUUUAAGAGGGGGAGAAUGUAACGACCCUGCCGGUCAUUUUGUGUAUUGUAACCCUAUUCCCCUAUUUAUUGCUUCUUAUGUGUUCAUUUGUGGUUAUCUGACUGCCGGGGUGGUUUCUUUGGUUCCAGAAAAGUUUCGGAGAGAAUUAGGUCACUUAGUUCCAAGGUUGGAAGCUUAAGUUGAAAGAGUUGGUGAGAGUUUGACCUUUGUGUAGAUGGCUCCGAAAUGGAGUUUUCAUGGUUCCAAUAGCUUCAUAUGGUGAUUUUGGACUUAGGUCUAUGUCCGAAUAUUGAUUUGGAGGUUCGUAGGUCGUUUUGGCUUGAAUUGGCGAAAGAUGGAAAGUUGAUGGUUUGGAAGGUUGAGAGGUUUGACCGGGAAUUGACUUUGUUGAUAUCGGGUUCGGAUUUUCGUCCCGGAAGUUGAAAUAGGUCCAUUGUGUCAUUUGGGACUUGCAUGCAAAACUUGAGGUCAUUCAGAGUUGCUGUGAUAUGGUUCGACAUUAGUUUUAGAAGUUGUAAGUUCAUAAGUUGUUGUUAGGCUUGAAUUGAUGUGCGAUUCCUGAUUUUGGUGUUGUUUUAUGUGCAUUGAAUACUCGAGUAAGUUUGUAUCGUGUAUUAGGACUUGUUGGUAUGUUUGGAUAGUGUCUCAGAGGCCUCGCGUGUAAUUCGGAUAAUGUGUGGACCAUGUUUGGACUUAGUAGUAUUGCUGAAGAAUUUCAAGUUCUGGUGCAAUCGCACCUGUGAGGAUUUGGUCGCAUGUGCGGAAUAUGCUGGCGCUAGGGAAAUGCACAGGUGCGAAUGUUUGUCCGCAUCUACGUGCUCGUAGAUGCCAGAAGUGGAGCGUAGAAGCGAAUUGGAGUAUGGUCAUGGAUUUCCGCAGAUGCGGACAUUGAGGCAUAGGUGCGCAUGCACAAAAGCACGAUGUAACUGCAGAAGCAGAGGUUGGCUGGAAGGUCCGGGACCGCAGAUGCGGCCACUUUUCCACAGAAACGGGACCGUAGAUGCAGUUAAGUGACCACAUGUGCGGUUUCACUAGCAGAGUUAUAUUUGAAGGGUUUCUUUGUUUUUCUCAUUUUGGUAAAUUUGGAACUAAGCUAAGGGCAAUUUUUAUGAGGGUUUUUUUCUACAACUGAAGAGAUAAGUGAAGUUUAAUCACUUUUGUUGAUAAAUAUUGAUUACGCAUUGACUAUUACACCUAUUUACAUGAAUUUGAAGUGAAAUUUGGAGAUUAUAGAUCAUGGUAUUGGAGAGUGAGAUUUGGUGAUUUAGGGGUCAAUUUAUGGAUGGAAUUUAAUGAAAUUAGUAUGGUUGGACUCGUAAUUGAAUGGGUAUUCGGAAUUUUUGAAUUUUAUCAAAUUUUGAUAAAUAUCUAAACUUUAUUGUUUGAAGUUGUUUCCUACAGCACUAUUUGUUGAUAUUAAGUUGUUUGUGACUAAAUUUGAGUCAUUCGGAGGCCGAUUCGCGGAGGAAGGGCUUUUUCGAGUAUUGAUUUGCGCGUUUUGAGGUAAGUAACACAUCGAAACUUGGAUUUGAGGGUAUUUAACCCUGGAAAUCAUAUUAUAUGAAAGGUAUUGGGGUGACGUACGAGCUAGGUGAUGGGCGUGUGUACGUGCACCGGUAUGUUCAUGAUUUGAGAAAGCUUUUAGAAUAUUACCGGGCUUAUUUGGCUAUCAUACCUUGUUGUACCCAUGUUGUUCCUACUUGUUUGAAUAUUUAAACUCUGAUUCAUGUUAGACAUCAUGUCUAGGCUAUAUGUUAUUUGUUUUUAUACUUGAUAGGGCUAUAUUGCAAUUUGUGAGCUAUUUGCCUUAUUUGUACACAUGUUCUCAGUCAUGAUACCAUAUUCGUGUAUAAUAUUUGUGUCUCAGUGCUCUAUUUGAUUCCUCACAUGUUGUAAAUGCAUCUUAUGUAUAAUACUAUUAAUCUGAAUAGUGUGAAGAUGUGAUUAUUUGAGACUUGAACGGUAAAUUACUGAUUUUGGGACAUAGAGCUGGUUUGGUAUUGAUUUUGAGGUGACACGUAAGUCAGGCCCAUAUUGGGCUAAGUGCUAUUAUUUUGGGGAGACGCGUGCACGAGGCCUCACUAUUGGGCUAUUGAUUUUGAUUAGCACUUGGGCAGGAUUCGCCCCUCUGGAGUCUGACAUGCCAGCAGUGGGCAGAUGCAUAGUGUUUUAUAUACGUGCUUGAUGAUGGGCUUUAUGCCAGACACCCGUACAGUGCCAAGUGUGAUUUUUCUUGAUGGAUCCACCGUGGUAUUAUUGUUUUGACAUGUAAGCAUAGAGAUGCACUUUUCUCGUGCUAGCUUAUAAAUAAAAUAUUUUAUACGUGAUGGACCUUAACUGUUAUACUCGAAAGCAUAUCUAAAUUCUGGUAUUUUGAAUAAACUAAACAUAACAUCAUUAAGUUAAUUACUUAUAUUGUUCCUAUUAUAUCCUAAGUUAUUAUCAGUUUUUGAAUGUUGAUCUCUCAUUGUUUCUUCUGAGCUCAUCAUUGCUUUCAACCCAAGGUUAGUGUUGUUACUUAUUGAGUACAUGGGGUCGGUUGUACUCAUACUACACUCUGCACUUCGUGUGCAGAUCCAGGUGUUUUCGGACGAGGUGAUCUCUAGUAUUUCAUUGCUACAAGCUUAGGAUACUACGAGGUACCUGCCAUACCGCCCGCAGACCAUAAAGUUCUCUUUUAUUAUCUAUUAUUUCUGUUCUUCUAUUCAAACAGUUGUAUUCAAAAUAUGGUCGUGUAUUUUGAUAUUCGGUAGUGCUCAUGUACUCGUUGACACCAGAUUUUGGGAAUGGUUGUAGUAGAUUAACGGUUACGUUCUCAGUUAUUUUAUGUUUUUACACUGUUCAGUUUAUUAAACCUUGUUUAAUCAUACUCCUUGUUCUGAUGUGACUAUUGGCUUGCCUAGCAAGUAGUAUUAGGUGUCGUCGCGGCUCCGGUGGGAGUUGAGUCGUGUCACAAUAAAACACAACAUUUGUAUCAAGAAUAGUUGUUAUUGUGGUCAAACCAACAUAGAGGUUCAUGUGUGUUUCAAAAAUUAGUAUCGACAACCAAACAACAUUUUAGCAUGACACGUAGGUGCCAAGAGAGUCACAACAGUAGUAACCAAACAUGGAAACAAACCAAAAGUGCAAUAGAAGGAUACUUAAUAGUAUAACAAGUUUAAAACCCCAACAAAAGAAAAUGCCAUAGUAGUAGUAACAUAAACGUUGAGUCACCAGAAAGGGUAAAAACUAACAUAAGAAUCAGCCAUGAACAGAGAUAAGAAUAACUAAAAGUCCUAAAUGAGUGCAAUAGCAGAAAUAAACCGGAACAAUGGCCAAACAAAAGCUCGCCGGGGUUUAAUUUUUUCCGCGCCAGAUCUAAAUAAUCCGGCGAGCAAAAAACCGAAACAUGUCAACAACAGUACGGCUAGAUCUGAUUCAUUCCGGCCAUGAAUUAGGUUGUAGAGGUGUAG